GCGGAGCAGCCCACCGGUGCUGCCGCCGAAGAUCGGGGACGGCGUGGACGGGUCCAGCUGCGGCGGCACGAAGCCCGCGGGGGCGGGCUCCGCCGGCGGCGCGGCGGGCGCGGGGGUGUCCGGGGCCGCGGCGAAGAGCGGGGCCGGGCCGCGGGCGGAGGAUGGCAUGGCGAGGGUGGCGGGGCGGGGCUUGGCGGAUGGCGACCAGGCCGCGGUGAUCAGGUGGCGCGUCGCCGCCGAGGCUUGCGUGGCCAUGGCCAUGGCGGUGGCGCUCUAGCUUGUGGUUCUUGGCGAGGAGAUGGGGAAGAGAGCGGAGACCACACGCGCGCGCGGGAGAUGGAGUGGUGUCUGGUGGGCGAUGAGUAGGAGAGGAUGGCUGAGCUAAGAGGUACGGGGGCUUGGGGUGGAGACGGUGGGGGGGAGUGGAUAAGGGGAUAUGGCGAUAUGAGGCCGGCCAAUGGGGAGUGCCGAUUUUGAUACGGCCGGGCUCUCCGCACCGCCACCACACACAUGUGCAUGUAUGCCCCGGUUGCCAUGACGCGCAGCGGCCACGCGACGAUAUUCUGAUCGCUCUCCACGGUUCAUCGUCUCUUGAUCCCGGCCACGUUCGCGUUUACGCUCAUGGUGCGUGAAGAAGCCAGAAAUAUACACCGUGUGUGUGCCACUUUUCGGUGUCACUGGCUUUUUUAUGGAACAAAACGUGCAUCUCAUUCUCAUCGAUAUCCGUCAAAGAAAGUGAAAAUUAUAUCUUUGCUCCUAAAAUUGUAUGUUUGCUCUCUCAUGUUUAUGUAAAGUUUGGCCAUUCGUUGCUGGAGGAACCCAUCGGACGAAGCCUGUCGGCCGAGGACGGUGGCGGAGGCGCUCUCCCCUCCCGGUUAGGUUUGGGUGAUGCAGGGCACCCACGGGCGUGGGGCACCUGCCUGGAUCUGGGUCACUGGCGGUGCGGCCUCUUUCCUCCGGCGAUGGUCCGUGAUGAUGGAUGUUUUAGAGUUGUUGAUAUAUUACUUUAUAAGAUAUUCAAGGAUAUUUAAUAAAAUGGUUGUAUGCAUCGUCCUGAUGCACAUGCUUUUCUAAAAAAACAAUUUGAGAGAACUAGGUUGUAGCCUAGUGGCAAGGGAGCGUAGUGGCGUCUUCAGCAACCAGGGUUCGAUCCACGUCGGGGACGAAUUUCUGGUUUCUCAUUAGGGAUGCUUCUUCUAUAUCAAUAAACCAUGGGUGCUAGUGCCCAUGGAGUUUCAUUUUUUUUUUUUAAAACAAUUUGAAUAGUUCAAAACCAGACCCAAGCGGUAAUCGGCAUGGAGCUAACAUGCCACUACUUUUUGGCUCACACUUGCUACGUUGUAGUCAAAACCAAUAUUUCUCCCACAUUCGUUCUUCUCUCUCUCUCAACUCGCCACAAGUGCACUCGAAACUUAACCGCGGUUGAUCCACUAGUAGAAAAAAAGGCUUUGGUCCACUUGAUGAAAUCUCAUUAGUCUCGGUUCACUCACGAACCGGGACCCAUGUGGGCAUAGGUCACGAUUCGUGAGGCCAGGGCGCCGGCCAGGCCUCAUGGGCCAUUUGUCCCGGUUCGUUUGUCACCUUCGGUCCCGGUUCCAAACACGAACCGGGACCAAUGUGCCUCUCUCCUGGCUCACAACCAGUAGUCCCAGUUUAUGGCUGGAACCGGGACCUCAGGUUGUCCUUUGGUCUCGGUUCUAGGCACAAACCGAGACCAACGGUUGGCCUAUAUAUACCCCCGCGAGCAGAGCAGUGCACUGCUUUGUUUUUUCGGACGGUUGUGGGAAAGCUUUGUGGUGCUCUAGCUCACCUCCUAUGCACAUGAGGUAUUCAAUGAAAUGUCCGAGCCACACUUAAGCUUUCUCCUUUAUAAGCUCCUUGUCCAAUCUCUAUUUUCAUCAAGAUUUGUGUAGUUUUCAAUACACUUUAUUAUAUAACUCACGCAGAUGAACCGUCAAUGGAUGUACAAUGACCGACGCACCUCUAAGUAUAUUAAUGUCCUGCAUAAUUUUCUCGAAGCGGCUAGGGCAAACAAGUGUAAUGGUUUUAUGCAUUGUCCAUGUACUGUUUGUGGGAAUACGAAGAAAUUCUCCGACUAUAAAACCCUUCACUUCCACCUGCUUCAGAAGGGUUUUAUGUCACACUAUAAUGUUUGGAUCAAGCAUGGAGAAAGAGGGGUUAUGAUGGAAGACAACAUAGAAGAAGAGGAUGAUGACAACUACCCGCCCCCUGAAUACGGUGAUGCUGCAAUGGGGGGGAGUUGAAGAUCAAGAGGAACCAGAUGAUGUGCCCGAUGAUGAUCUUCGUCGGGUCAUUGUUGAUGCACAUAGAGAAUGCGAAAGUGAAAGGGAGAAGUUGAAGUUCGAUCGCAUGUUAGAGGAUCACAAAAAAGGGUUGUAUCCAAGUUGCGAAGAUGACAACACAAAGCUCGAUACCACACUAGAAUUGCUGCAAUGGAAGGCGGACAAUGGUGUAUCUAACAAGGCAUUUAGUUCGCUGCUAAAAUUAAUGAAGAAGAAGCUUCCAAAGGAUAAUUAAUUGCCCGGCAGUACGUACGAAGCGAAGAAGGUUCUAUGUCCUCUAGGAUUGGAGGUGCAGAAGAUACAUGCAUGCCCUAAUGACUGCAUCCUCCACCGCGGUGCGUACGAGAAUUUGAACGCAUGCCCGGUAUGCGGCGCAUUGCGGUAUAAGAUCAGAAGAGAUGACCCUGGUGAUGUUGAGGGCCAGCGCACCGGGAAGAUGGUUCCUGCCAAGGUGAUGUGGUAUGCUCCUAUAAUACCACGGUUGAAACGUUUGUUCAGAAACAAAAAGCAUGCCGAGUUGAUGCAAUGGCACAUAAAAGACCGUAAGAAAGACGGGAAGUUGAGAGCACCCGCUGACGGGUCGCAAUGGAGAAAGAUCAAGAGAAAGUGGAGCGACUUUACACGUGACCCAAGGAACGUAUGGUUUGGUUUAAGUGCAGAUGGCAUUAGUCCUUUUGGGGACAGAGCAGCAAGGCAUAGCACAUGGCAUGUGACUCUAUGUAUGUAUAACCUUCCUCCUUGAUUGUGCAUGAAGCGAAAGUUCAUUAUGAUGCGAGUGCUCAUCAAAGGCCCUAGGCAACCCGGCAAUGACAUUGAUGUGUACCUAAGGCCAUUAGUUGAUGAACUUUUACAGCUAUGGAAUGGAAAUGGUGUACGUGUGUGGGAUGAGAACGAACAGGAGGAAUUUAACCUACAUGCUUUGUUGUUUGUAACCAUCAACGAUUGGCCUGCUCUCAGUAAUCUUUCAGGACAGACAAACAAGGGAUACAACACAUGCACACACUGUUUAGAUGACACCGACAGUAUAUAUUUGGACAAAUGCAGGAAGAAUGUGUACAUGGGGCAUCGUCGAUUUCUUCCGACCAACCAUCAAUGUCGAAAGAAAGGAAAGCAUUUCAAAGGUGGGGCAGAUCACCGGAAGAAGCCCACCCUCCAUACUGGUGACCACAUACUUGAUAUUGUCAAUGAUUUACAAGUAAUCUUUGGAAAGGGUCCUGGAGGACUAUCUGUUCUGAAUGACGAUACGGGUCACGCACUCAUGUGGAAGAAGAAAUCUAUAUUUUGGGACCUACCCUAUUGGAAAGACCUAGAGGUCCGCUCUGCAAUCGACGUGAUGCACGCGACGAAGAAUCUUUGUGUGAACCUGCUAGGCUUCUUGGGAGUGUAUGGGAAGAUAAAAGAUACACCAGAGGCACGAAAGGAACAUCAACGUGUGCAUGAAAAAGACGGCAUGCAUCCAGAGCAGUAUGAAGGUCCUCCCAGCUACGCUCUUACCAAAGAAGAGAAGGAAAUCUUCUUUGAAUGCUUGCUCAGUAUGAAGGUCCCAUCUGGCUUCUCGUCGAAUAUAAAGGGAAUAAUAAAUAUGCCAGAGAAAAGUUCCAGAACCUAAAGUCUCAUGACUACCACGUGAUUACGACACAACUGCUUCCGGUUGAAUUGAGGGGGCUUCUACCGGAAAACAUUCGAUUAGCCAUUGUGAAGCUAUGUGCAUUCCUCAAUGCAAUCUCUCAGAAGGUGAUCGAUCCAGAAAUCCUGCCAAGGUUAAGAAGUGAUUUGGUGCAAUGUCUUGUUAGUUUCGAGCUGGUGUUCCCACCAUCCUUCUUCAAUAUCAUGACGCACGUCCUAGUUCAUCUAGUCGACGAGAUUGUCGUUCUGGGCCCUGUAUUUCUACACAAUAUGUUCCCCUUUGAGAGGUUCAUGGGAGUCUUAAAGCAAUAUGUCCGUAACCGCGCUAAGCCAGAAGGAAGCAUCUCCAUGGGUCAUCAAACAGAGGAUGUCAUUGGAUUUUGUGUUGACUUCAUUCCUGACCUUAAGAAGAUUGGUCUCCCUCAAUCGCGGUAUGAGGGGAGACUGAUUGGAAAAGGCACACUAGGAGCAGAGUCAAUAAUGUGUACAGAUGGGCAUUCUUGGUCUCAAGCACACUACACAGUUCUACAGAAUUCUACCUUGGUGACCCCGUAUGUCUAUGAACACAAGAAUCUUCUGAUCUCCAUACACCCAGAGCGGUGUGACGACUGGAUUACAUUUGAACACAUCAGGACUUUCAGCAGUUGGUUGCAAAAACGUCCCAUGUGUGACAACACUAUUUCUGAUGAGUUGUACUCGUUGGUCAGCGGACCAUCUUCGACUGCAUUGACUUACAAAGGGUACGAGAUAAAUGGGAAUACAUUUUACACGAUUACCCAAGAUCAAAAGAGCACCAACCAAAACAGCGGUGUCCGCUUUGAUGCAGCAACCGAGAGGGGAAAGGACACAUAUUAUGGUUACAUAGUGGACAUAUGGGAACUGGACUAUGGACAUGAUUUGAAGGUCCCUUGGUUUCAUUGCAAAUGGGUCAAUCUGUCAGGAGGCGGGGUACAGAUAGACCCACAGUACGGAAUGACAACAGUGGAUUUGUACAAUCUUGCGCAUGCAGAGGAACCAUUCCUCCUAGCCAAUGAUGUGGCGCAGGUUUUCUAUAUGAAGGACAUGUCUACAAAACCGAGAAAAAGAAAAUAUAAGGAAGCGAAUACAUCAUACAAUGAGCCAAAGCGCCACAUAGUUCUUUCAGGAAAAAGAGACAUCAUGGGAUUGGAGGGCAAGACAGACAUGUGUGAAGAUUAUGAAAAGUUUCAUGAAAUUCCUCCCUUCAAAGUCAAGACUGACCCAAGCACCCUGUUAAACGAUGAAGAUUAUCCAUGGUUACGGUGCAAUAAGCAAGGAACACAAGCGAAGAAAAAGUGAAGAAAUGAAAUACCCUUUGUAAGAGAUGAGUUUUCGUAUGAAAUCCUCAUACUUCGAAAGAUAUUGUCCGUUUUGUACACGAAGUGCAUCCAGUUUUUGCCGCAACCCUCUCAAAUUUUUAGCACAUGUUAUGUGGGUGAAAUGAUGAUACCAUGCCAACUUUCAAUCUUUUCAGAGUUCAUUUGUAGUGCUUUUCAAUUUAAGGGUCAUUUAACUCAAAAAAAUCACUAAAUGCAUGAAAAAUACAAAAUGAAGUCAGAAAUAGUUAAAAAUUGAUGAUUUGUCUUUGAAUGGUGCAUUUUGAACACAUAAAAAGUCUAGAGUUCAAAUAAGUUCAAAAAUUUGAAAUCCCUUUGUAACAGAUGAGUUUUUGUAUGAAACCCCGAUACUUUGAAAGAGAUUGUCCGUUUUGUACACGAAAUGAAUCCAGUUUUUGGCGCAAUCCUCUCGACUUUUUAGCACAUGUUAUGUGGGUGAAAUGAUGAUACCAUGCUAACUUUCAACCUUUUCAGAGUUCAUUUGUAGUGCUUUUCAAUUUAAGGGUCAUUUAGCUCAAAAAAAAUCACUAAGUCCAUGAAAAAUACCAAAUGAAGUCAGAAAUAGUUAAAAAUUGAUGAUGUGUCUUUGAAUGGUGCAUUUUGAACACACAAAAAGUCUGGAGUUCAAAUACGUUCAAAAAAAUGAAAUCCCUUUGUAACAGAUAAGUUUUCGUAUGAAACCCUCGUACUUCGAAAGAGAUUGUUCAUUUUUUUACACGAAGUGCAUCCAGUUUUUGCCGCAACCCUCUCAACUUUCUAGCACAUUCUAUGUGGGUGAAAUGAUGAUACCAUGCGAACUUUCAACAUUUUCAGAGUUCAUUUAUAGUGUUUUUCAAUUUAAGGGUCAUUUAGCUCAAAAAAUCAGUAAAUGCAUGAAAAAUACCAAAUGAAGUCAGAAAUAGUUGAAAUUGAUGAUGUGUCUUUGAAUGGUGCAUUUUGAACACACAAAAAGUCUGGAGUUUAAAUAAAUUCAAAAAAUGAAAUCCCUUUGUAACAGAUGAGUUUCGUAUGAAACCGUGAUACUUCGGAAGACAAUGCCCGUUUUGUACACAAAGUGUAUCCAGUUUUUACCGCAACCCUCAACUUUUUAGCACAUGCUAUGUGGGUGAAAUGAUGAUACCAUACCAACUUUCAAUAUUUUCAGAGUUCAUUUGUAGCGAUUUUCAAUUUCAGGGUCAUUUAGCUCAAAAAAUUCAGUAAAUGCAUGAAAAAUACCAAAUGAAGUCAGAAAUAGUAAUGGUUCAUUUGUCAGAAAUAGUGAUUUUCAAUUUCAGGGUCAUUUACCAAAUGAGUUCAUUUGUAGUGAUUUUCAAUUUCAAUAUUUUCAGAGUUCAUUUGUAUUGAUGAUAUGUCUUUGAAUGGUGCAUUUUGAACACACAGAAAGUCUGGAGUUCAAAUAAGUUCAAAAAACUGAAAUCCCUUUGUAACACAUGAAUUUUCGUAUGAAACCCUAAUACUUCAAAAGAGAUUGUUUGUUUUGUACACGAUGUGCACCCAGAUUUUGCCGCAACUCUCUCAACUUUUUAGCACAUGCUAUGUGCGUGAAAUGAUAAUACCAUGCCAACUUUCAACGUUUUCAGAGUUCAUAUGUAGUGCUUUUCAAUUUAAGGGUCAUUUAGCUCAAAACAAAAAUCAGUAAAUGUAUGAAAAAUAUCAAAUGGGCUGAUGGACCUUUUGUCCCUGUUCUAGCCAUCAACCAGUACGAAAGUACUCUUCUUCCUCCCUUUUGGGCCAGCGAAAGUUUGGCUUUGGUCCCGGUUGAUUCCACAAACCGAAAACAAAGGUUUCGCAUAUAGUGCGGGACUUGUCGAAAUUAACCUUUAGUCACGGUUGGUGUAACAACCCAGGACUGAAGGUGUGCUUUGGUCCCGGUUUGGUCCACUGCUACUUCUCAAACAAGAGCGCCAGAAAUUGGCACAUUGACGGAGAUUUGACUUGUGUUGGUUUUUCCAUUGAAGAAGAAAGGGUGGUGCAGCACAGGAGCAGUAAGUAUUUCCCUCAGUUUGAGAACCAAGGUAUCCAUCCAGUAGGAGGAUCGUGUCAAGUCCAGAGUACCUGCACAAACACAAAAGAGCUUGCACCCAACGCUAUAAAGGGGUUGUCAAUCCCUUCAAGAUUGUUUGCAAAGUGAGAACUGAAAGCGGAAAGCAAAACAAAGUAAAAGUGUAAGGCUGAAAAUAUGGUGUGGAGUAGACCCAGGGGCCAUAGUGUUCACUAGAGGCUUCUCUCAAAAUAGCAAGUAUCACGGUGGGUGAACAAAUUACUGUCGAGAAAUUGAUAGAACCACGCAAAGUCAUGACGAUAUCUAAGGCAAUGAUCAUACAUACAGGCAUCACGUCCGAGACAAGUAGACCGAUACUUUCUGCAUCUACNNNNNNNNNNNNNNNNNNNNNNNNNNNNNNNNNNNNNNNNNNNNNNNNNNNNNNNNNNNNNNNNNNNNNNNNNNNNNNNNNNNNNNNNNNNNNNNNNNNNUAUCACGGUGGGUGAACAAAUUACUGUCGAGCAAUUGAUAGAACCACGCAAAGUCAUGACGAUAUCUAAGGCAAUGAUCAUACAUAUAGGCAUCACGUCUGAGACAAGUACACCGAUACUUUCUGCAUCUACUACUAUUACUCCACACAUCGACCGCUAUCCAUCCUGCAUCUAGUGUAUUGAGUUCAUGACGAACAGAGUAACGCCUUAAGCAAGAUGACAUGAUGUAGAGGGAUAAUCUCAAACCAAUGAUGAAAACCCCAUCUUUUUACCCUUGAUGGCAACAACACGAUGCGUGCCUCACUACCCCUUCUGUCACUGGGUGAGGUCACCGCACGGUAUGAACCCAAAACCAAGCACUUCUCCCAUUGCAAGAAUCAUAGAUCUAGUUGGCCAAACAAAACCCACAACUCGAAGAGAAAUACAAGGAUAUGAAAUGUAGAUCUAGUUGGCCAAACAAAACUCACAACUCGAAGAGAAUUACAAGGAUAUGAAUCAUGCAUAAGAGAGAUCAGAAGAAACUCAAAUAAGAUUCAUAGAUAAUCUGAUCAUAAAUCCACAAUUCAUCGGAUCUCGACAAACACACCGCACAAGAUUAUUACAUCGGAUAGAUCUCCAUGAAGAUCAUGGAGAACUUUGUAUUGAAGAUCCAAGAGAGAGAAGAAGCCAUCUAGUUACUAGCUAUGGACCCGUAGGUCUAUGGUGAACUACUCACGCAUCAUCGGAGAGGUCAUGGUGUUGAUGAAGAAGCCCUCCGUGUCCGAAUCCCCCCUCCGGCAGGGCACCAGAACGUGCCCCAGAUGGGAUCUUGCGGAGACAGAAGCUUGCGGCGGCGGAAAAGUAAUUUCGAGAUCUCCUGAUUUUGUGGUAUUUUUAGGGAAUUUAUAGGUGCAACCCCUAGGUCAGGGGACGCUCAGGGGGCCCACAAGCCUAUGGGUCGCGGCCUACCCCCCUGGACGCGGGGUGGGGGCUUGUGGGGCCCCUGAGGCUCCCCUGCCUUGGCUCUCAAGCUUCCUGAUCUUCUUCCGUUCCGGAAAAAAAACUUUUCGGGGAUUUUCUUCCGUUUGGACUCCGUUUCAAAAUCUCCUCUGAAAGGGGUCAAAAACAUGGAAAAAUAGGAACUGGCACUUGGCACUGAGUUAAUAUGUUAGUCCCGAAAAAUAUAUAAAAGGCAUGCAAAACAUCCAAAGUUUGACAAGAUAAUUGCAUGAAACCAUCAAAAAUUAUAGAUACGUUGGAGACGUAUCAGUNNNNNNNNNNNNNNNNNNNNNNNNNNNNNNNNNNNNNNNNNNNNNNNNNNNNNNNNNNNNNNNNNNNNNNNNNNNNNNNNNNNNNNNNNNNNNNNNNNNNUGUCAGUGAGUUAUAUGAUCUCAUGGUCAUAGGAACAAAUACUUGUCACGCAGAAAACAGUAGCAACAAAAUGACAUGAUCAACAUGCUACGUCUAUUAGUUUGGGUCUAGUCCAUCACAUGAUUCUCCUAAUGAUGUGAUCCCGUUAUCAAGUAACAACACUUGCCUAUGGCCAGGAAACCUUGGCCAUCUUUGAUCAACGAGCCAGUCAACUAGAGGCUUACUAGGGACCGUGUUUUGUCUAUGUAUCCACACAAGUAUUGUGUUUCCAAUUAAUACAAUUAUAGCAUGGAUAAUAAACGAUUAUCAUGAACAAAGAAAUAUAAUAAUAACUAAUUUAUUAUUGCCUCUAGGGCAUAUUUCCAACAGUCUCCCACUUGCACUAGAGUCAAUAAUCUAGUUCACAUCACCAUGUGAUUUCAACGAAUCCAACACCCAUAUAGUUCUGGGGUCUGAUCACGUCUUGCUCAUGAGAGAGCUUUUAGUCAACGGUUCUGAAACUUUCAGAUCCGUGUGUUCUUUACAAAUCUUUAUGUCAUCUUAUAGAUGCUGCUACUAUGUGCUAUUCGGAAAUACUCCAAAUAUCUACUCUACUAUACGAAUCCGUUUCACUACUCAUAGUUAUUCCGAUUAGUGUCANNNNNNNNNNNNNNNNNNNNNNNNNNNNNNNNNNNNNNNNNNNNNNNNNNNNNNNNNNNNNNNNNNNNNNNNNNNNNNNNNNNNNNNNNNNNNNNNNNNNCUAGCUCAAGUCCGAUCAUCACGUGAGUUGAGUAUAGUUUCAGUGGUAAGCAUCCCUAUGCUAAUCAUAUCAUCUAUAUGAUUCAUGAUCGACCUUUCGGUCUCAUGUGUUUCGAGGCAAUGUCUGCACAUGCUAGGCUCGUCAAGCUUAACCCAAGUGUUCCGCGUGCGCAACUGUUUUGCACCCGUUGUAUGUGAACGUUGAGUCUAUCACACCCGAUCAUCACGUGGUGUGUCAAAACGACGAACUGUAGCAACGGUGCACAGUCGGGGAGAACACAAUUUCGUCUUGAAAUUUCAGUGAGAGAUCACCUCAUAAUGAUACCGUCGUUCUAAGCAAAAUAAGGUGCAUAAAAGGAUUAACAUCACAUGCAAUUCAUAAGUGACAUGAUAUGGCCAUCAUCACGUGCUCCUUGAUCUCCAUCACCAAGCACCGGCACGAUCUUCUUGUCACCGGCGCCACACCAUGAUCUCCAUCAACGUGUCGCCAUUGGGGUUGUCGUGCUACUCCUCCUAUUACUACUAAAGCUACAUCCUAGCAAAAUAGUACACGCAUCUGCAAGCACAAACGUUAGUAUAAAGACAACCCUAUGGCUCCUGCCGGUUGCUGUACCAUCGACGUGCAAGUCGAUAUUAUCUAUUACAACAUGAUCAUCUCAUACAUCCAAUAUAUCACAUCACAUCGUUGGUCAUAUCACAUCACAAGCAUACCCUGCAAAAACAAGUUAGACGUCCUCUAAUUUUGUUGUUGCAUGUUUUACGUGGUGACCAUGGGUAUCUAGUAGGAUCGCAUCUUACUUACGCAAACACCACAACGGAGAUAUAUGAGUUGCUAUUUAACCUCAUCCAAGGACCUCCUCGGUCAAAUCCGAUUCAACUAAAGUUGGAGGAACUGACACUUGCCAGUCAUCUUUGAGCAACGGGGUUACUCGUAGCGAUGAAACCAGUCUCUCGUAAGCGUACGAGUAAUGUCGGUCCAAGCCGCUUCAAUCCAACAAUACCGCGGAAUCAAGAAAAGACUAAGGAGGGCAGCAAAACGCACAUCACCUCCCACAAAAACUUUUGUGUUCUACUCGAGAAGACAUCUACGCAUGAACCUAGCUCAUGAUGCCACUGUUGGGGAACGUCGCAUGGGAAACAAAAAUUUUCCUACGCGCACGAAGACCUAUCAUGGUGAUGUCCAUCUACGAGAGGGGAUGUGUGAUCUACGUACCCUUGUAGACCGUACAGCAGAAGCGUUAGUGAACGCGGUUGAUGUAGUGGAACGUCUUCACGUCCCUCGUAAGAAGCGUUAGUGAAUGCAGUUGAUGUAGUGGAACAUCCUCACGUCCCUCGAUCCGCCCCGCGAACCGUCCCGCGAUCAGUCCCACGAUCUAGUGCCGAACGGACGGCACCUCCGUGUUCAGCACACGUACAGUUCGACGAUGAUCUCGGCCUUCUUGAUCCAGCAAGAGAGACAGAGAGGUAGAAGAGUUCUCCGGCAGCGUGACGGUGCUCCGGAGGUUGGUGAUGAUCUUGUCUCGGCAGGGCUCCGCCCGAGCUUCGCAGAAACGCGAUCUAGAGGUGAAACCGUGGAGAUAUGUGGUCGGGCUGUCGUGGCAAAGUUGUGUCAAAUCAGCCCUAAAACCUCUGUAUAUAUAGGGGGAGGAGGGGGAGCCUUGCCUUGGGGUCAAAGGACCCUCAAGGGCUUCGGCCGAGCCAAGGGGGGCAAACCUCCCCUUCCAAACCGAGUCCAACUAGGUUUGGAAGGAGGAGUCCUUCCCCCUUUUGCCACCUCCUUUUUUUUUUCUUUUCUCUUUGAUUUUCUUCCUAUGGCGCAUAGGGCCUUCUUGGGCUGUCCCACCAGCCCACUAAGGGCUGGUGCGCCACCCCCAAAGCCUAUGGGCUUCCCUGGGGUGGGUUGCCCCCCCCCNNNNNNNNNNNNNNNNNNNNNNNNNNNNNNNNNNNNNNNNGGGGGGUUCCCCCCCCCCCCCCCCCCGGUGAACACCCGGAACCCAUUAUUCAUUCCCGGUACAUUCCCGGUAACUCCAAAAACCUUCCGGUAAUCAAAUGAGGUCAUCCUAUAUAUGAAUCUUCAUUUCCAGACCAUUCCGGAAACCCUCGGGACGUCUGUGGUCUCAUCUGGGACUCCGAACAACAUUCGGUAACCAACCAUAUAACUCAAAUACGCAUAAAACAACGUCGAACCUUAAGUGUGCAGACCCUGCGGGUUCGAGAACUAUGUAGACAUGACCCGAGAGACUCCUCGGUCAAUAUCCAACAGCGGGACCUGGAUGGCCAUAUUGGAUCCUACAUAUUCUACGAAGAUCUUAUCGUUUGAACCUCAGUGCCAAGGAUUCAUACAAAGAGCACAAAGAGCAAAAGUAUCUAGCUCAAAAGAUAUAAGUGAAGCACUAUGAGCAUUCUAGCAAAAUCACGAUGACAGCGGGACCUGGAUGGCCAUAUUGGAUCCUACAUAUUCUACGAAGAUCUUAUCGUUUGAACCUCAGUGCCAAGGAUUCAUACAAAGAGCACAAAGAGCAAAAGUAUCUAGCUCAAAAGAUAUAAGUGAAGCACUAUGAGCAUUCUAGCAAAAUCACGAUGAGUGCAUGUCUCUCUCUCUCAAAAAAGGUGUUGCUACUGUUUUUUGCGUGUCAAGUAUUUGUUCCUAUGACCAUGAGAUCAUAUAACUCAUUGACACCGGAGGAAUGCUUUGUGUGUAUCAAACGUCGCAAUGUAACUGGGUGACUAUAAAGAUGUUGUACAGGUAUCUCCGAAGGUAUUCGUUGAGUUAGUAUGGAUCGAGACUGGGAUUUGUCACUCCGUGUGACGGAGAGGUAUCUCAGGGCCCACUCGGUAAUACAACAUCACACACAAGCCUUGCAAGCAAUGUGACUUAGUGUAAGUUGCGGGAUCUUGUAUUACGGAACGAGUAAAUAGACUUGCCGGUAAACGAGAUUGAAAUAGGUAUGCGGAUACCGACGAUCGAAUCUCGGGCAAGUAACAUACUGAAGGACAAAGGGAAUGACAUACGGGAUUGUAUGAAUCCUUGGCACUGAGGUUCAAACGAUAAGAUCUUCGUAGAAUAUGUAGGAUCCAAUAUGGGCAUCCAGGUCCCGCUAUUGGAUAUUGACCGAGGAGUCACUCGGGUCAUGUCUACAUAGUUCUCAAACCCGUAGGGUAUGCACACUUAAGGUUCGAUGUUGUUUUAUGCGUAUUUGAGUUAUAUGGUUGGUUACCUAAUAUUGUUCGGAGUCCCGGAUGAGAUCACAGAAGUCACGAGGGUUUACGGAAUGGUCCGGAAACAAAGAUUGAUAUAUAGGAUGACCUCAUUUGAUUACGGAAGGUUUUCGGAGUUACCGGGAAUGUACCGGGAAUGACGAAUGGGUUCCGGGUCUUCACCGGGGGGCAACCCACCCCGGGGAAGUCCAUAGGCCUUGGGGGUAGCGCACCAGCCCUUUGUGGGCCGGUGGGACAGCCCAAGAAGGCCCUAUGCGCCAUAGGAAGAAAAUCAAAGAGAAAGAAAAAAAGUAGGUGGGAAAGGAGAGAAGGACUCCACUUUCCAAUCCUAGUUGGACUAGGAUUGGAGGAGGACUCCUCCUCCCUUGGUGGCGCAGCCCUUGGGGCUCCUUGAGCCUCAAGGCAAGCCUCCCCUCCCUCCUCCUAUAUAUAUGGAGCAAUUAGGGCUGAUUUGAGACAACUUUUUCAAGGCAGCCCGACCACAUACCUCCACGGUUUUACCUCUAGAUCGCGUCUCUGCGGAGCUCGGGCGGAGCCCUGCCGAGAUUAGAUCAUCACCAACCUCCAGAGCGCCGUCACGCUGCCGGAGAACUCAUCUACCUCUCCGUCUCUCUUGCUGGAUCAAGAAGGCCGAGAUCAUCGUCGAGCUGUACGUGUGCUGAACGCGGAGGUGCCGUCAGUUCGGCACUAGAUCGUAGGACGGAUCGCGGGACGGUUCGUGGGACGGUUCGCGGGGCGGAUCGAGGGACGUGAGGACGUUCCACUACAUCAACCGCGUUCACUAACGCUUGUGCUGUGCGAUCUACAAGGGUACGUAGAUCGGAAAUCCCCUCUCGUAGAUGGACAUCACCAUGAUAGGUCUUCGUGCACGUAGAAUUUUUUUUGUUUCCCGUGCGACGUUCCCCAUCAGUGGUAUCAGAGCUAGGUCUUCAUGCAUAGAUGUAAUCUCGAGUAGAACACAAAAGUUUUUGUGGGCGGUGAUGUGCGUUUUUCUGCCCUCCUUAGUCUUUUCUUGAUUCCGCGGUAUUGUUGGAUCGAAGCGGCUCGGACCGACAUUACUCGUACGCUUACGAGAGACUGGUUUCAUCGCUACGAGUAACUCCGUUCCUCAAAGAUUACCGGCGAGUGUCGGUUUCUCCAACUUUAGUUGAAUCGGACUUGACCGAGGUGGUCCGUGGAUGAGGUUAAAUAGCAAUUCAUAUAUCUCCUUUGUGGUGUUUGCGUAAGUAAGAUGCGAUCCUACUAGAUACCCAUGGUCACCACGUAAAACAUGCAAUAACAAUUAGAGGACGUCUAACUUGUUUUUGCAGGGUAUGCUUGUGAUGUGAUAUAUUGGAUGUAUGAGAUGAUCAGGUUGUAAUAGUUAAUAUCGACUUGCACGUCGAUGGUACGGCAACCGGCAGGAGCCAUAGGGUUGUCUUUAAACUAACGUUUGUGCUUGCAGAUGCGUUUACUAUAUUGCUAGGACGUAGCUUUAGUAGUAAUAGCAUGAGUAGCACGACAACCCCGAUGGCGACACGUCGAUGGAGAUCACGGUGUGACGCCGGUGACAAGAAGAUCGUGCCGGUGCUUUGGUGAUGGAGAUCNNNNNNNNNNNNNNNNNNNNNNNNNNNNNNNNNNNNNNNNNNNNNNNNNNNNNNNNNNNNNNNNNNNNNNNNNNNNNNNNNNNNNNNNNNNNNNNNNNNNCCUCCGCGUUCAGCACACGUACAGCUCGACGAUGAUCUCGGCCUUUUUGAUCCAGCAAGUGAGACGGAGAGGUAGAAGAGUUCUCCGGCAGCGUGACGGCGCUCCGGAGGUUGGUGAUGACCUUGUCUCAGCAGGGCUCCGCCCGAGCUCCGGAGAAACGCGAUCUAGAGGAAAAACCGUGGACGUAUGUGGUCGGGCUGCCGUGGAAAAGUCGUCUCAAAUCAGCCCUAAAACCUCCGUAUAUAUAGGCGGGAGAGGGGGGGGACCUUGCCUUGGGGCUCAAGGGGGGUCGGCCGAGCCAAAGGGGGGAAGGACUCCCCCCCAAACCGAGUCCUACUUGGUUUGGUGGGUGGAGUCCCUCUUUCCUUUCCCACCUCCUCCUUUUUUUUCUUUUCUCUUUGAUUUUUCUUCCAAUGCGCAUAGGGACCUUUUGGGCUGUCCCAACAGCCCACUAAGGGCUGGUGCGCCACCCUCAAUGCCUAUGGGCUUCCCCGGGGUGGGUUGCCCCCCCGGUGAACUCCCGGAACCCAUUCGUCAUUCCCGGUACAUUCCCGGUAACUCCGAAAACCUUCCGGUAAUCAAAUGAGGUCAUCCUAUAUAUCAAUCUUCGUUUCCGGACCAUUCCGGAAACCCUCGUGACGUCCGUGAUCUCAUCCGGGACUCCGAACAACAUUCAGUAACCAACCAUAUAAGUCAAAUACGCAUAAAACAACGUCGAACCUUAAGUGUGCAGACCCUGCGGGUUCGAGAACUAUGUAGACAUGACCCGAGAGACUCCUCGGUCAAUAUCCAAUAGCGGGACCUGGAUGCCCAUAUUGGAUCCUACAUAUUCUACGAAGAUCUUAUCGUUUGAACCUCAGUGCCAAGGAUUCAUAUAAUCCCGUAUGUCAUUCCUUUUGUCCUUCGGUAUGUUACUUGCCCGAGAUUCGAUCGUCAGUAUCCGCAUACCUAUUUCAAUCUUGUUUACCGGCAAGUCUCUUUACUUGUUCCGUAAUACAAGAUCCCGCAACUUACACUAAGUCACAUUGCUUGCAAGGCUUGUGUGUGAUGUUGUAUUACCGAGUGGGCCCCGAGAUACCUCUCCGUCACACGGAGUGACAAAUCCCAGUCUUGAUCCAUACUAACUCAACGAACACCUUCGGAGAUACCUGUAGAGCAUAUUUAUAGUCACCCAGUUACGUUGCGACGUUUGAUACACACAAAGUAUUCCUCCGGUGUUAGUGAGUUAUAUGAUCUCAUGGUCAUAGGAACAAAUACUUGACACGCAGAAAACAGUAGCAACAAAAUGACACGAUCAACAUGCUACGUCUAUUAGUUUGGGUCUAGUCCAUCACGUGAUUCUCCUAAUGACGUGAUCCAGUUAUCAAGCAACAACACCUUGUUCAUAAUCAGAAGACACUGACUAUCUUUGAUCAACUGGCUAGCCAUCUAGAGGCUUGCUAGGGACAGUGUUUUGUCUAUGUAUCCGCACAUGUAAAUGGGUUUUCAUUCAAUACAAUUAUAGCAUGGAUAAUAAACGAUUAUCUUGAUACAGGAAUUAUAAUAAUAACUAUAUUUAUUAUUGCCUCUCGGGCAUAAUUCCAACACUAUCAGGCGUUUUGAUCUAUCCCUGUAGAUCUUAAUGCCUAGAAUGUAAGCAGCUUCUCCUAGGUCCUUCAUAGAGAAACUUUUAUUCAAGUAAUCCUUUAUGCUCUCCAAAAACUCUACGUUGUUUCCAAUCAGCAAUAUGUCAUCCACAUAUAAUAUUAGAAAUGCCACAGAGCUCCCACUCACUUUCUUGUAAAUACAAGAUUCUCCAACCACUUGUAUAAACCCAAAUGCUUUGAUCACCUCAUCAAAGCGUUUGUUCCAACUCCGAGAUGCUUGCACCAGUCCACAAAUGGAUCGCUGGAGGUCGCACACUUUGUUAGCAUUCUUAGGAUCGACAAAACCUUCGGGUUGCAUCAUAUACAACUCUUCCUUAAGGAAACCGUUACGGAACGCCGUUUUGACAUCCAUCUGCAAGAUUUCAUAAUCGAAAAAUGCAGCUAUUGCUAACAUGAUUCUGACGGACUUAAGCAUCGCUACGGGUGAGAAUGUCUCAUCGUAGUCAACUCCUUGAACUUGUGAAAAACCCUUUGCCACAAGUCGAGCUUUAUAAACGGUCACAUUGCCGUCAGCGUCCGUCUUCCUCUUAAAGAUCCAUUUGUUCUGAAUAGCCUUGCGGCCCUCAGGUAGUACUUCCAAAGUCCACACUUUGUUCUCAUACAUGGAUCCUAUCUCGGACUUCAUGGCUUCUAGCCAUUUGUUGGAAUCUGGGCCCACCAUUGCUUCUUCAUAAUUUGCAGGUUCAUUGUUGUCUAACAACAUGAUUGACAAGACGGGAUUACCGUACCACUCUGGAGGAGCACGUGGUCACGUCGACCUGCGUGGUUCGACAGAAACUUGAACCGGAGUUUCAUGAUCAUCAUCAUUAACUUCCUCCUCAACCGGCGUCGCAACGACACAGGUUUCCCCUUGCCCUGCGCCACCACCUAGAGGGAUGAGAGGUUCGACAACCUCAUCAAGUUCUAUCUUCCUCCCACUCAAUUAUCUCGAGAGAAACUCCUUCUCGAGAAAAGCUCCGUUUUUAGCAACAAACACUUUGCCCUCGGAUUUGAGAUAGAAGGUGUACCCAACUGUCUCUUUUGGGUAACCUAUGAAGAUGCACUUUUCCGCAUUGGGUUCCAGCUUUUCAGGCUGAAGCUUUUUGACAUAAGCAUCACAUCCCCAAACUUUAAGAAACGACAACUUUGUCCUUUUGCCAUACCACAGUUCGUAUGGUGUCAUCUCAACGGAUUUUGAUGGUGCCCUAUUUAAAGUGAAUGCAGCUGUUUCUAAUGCAUAACCCCAAAACGAUAACGGCAAAUCGGCAAGAGACAUCAUAGAUCGCACCAUCACUAAUAAAGUACGAUUACGACGUUUGGACACACCAUUACGCUUUGGUGUUCCACGCGGUGUCAACUAUGAAACAAUUCCACAUUGUCUUAAGUGAGCACCAAACUCGAAACUCAGAUAUUCACCCCCACGAUCAGACCGUAGGAACUUGAUCUUCUUGUUACGAUGAUUUUCCACUUCACUCUGAAAUCGCUUGAACUUUUCAAAUGUUUCAGACUUGUGCUUCAUCAAGUAGACAUAACCAUAUCUACUUAAAUCGUCAGUGAAGGUGAGAAAAUAACGAUAUCCGCCGCGUGCCUCUACGCUCAUCGGACCACACACAUCGGUAUGUAUGAUUACCAACAAGUCACUUGCACGCUCCAUUGUUCCGGAGAACGGAGUUUUAGUCNNNNNNNNNNNNNNNNNNNNNNNNNNNNNNNNNNNNNNNNNNNNNNNNNNNNNNNNNNNNNNNNNNNNNNNNNNNNNNNNNNNNNNNNNNNNNNNNNNNNGGAGAGGAUCAUCACCAACCUCCGGAGCGCCAUCACGCUGCCGGAGAACUCUUCUACCUCUCCGUCUCUCUUGCUGGAUCAAGAAGGCCAAGAUCAUCGUCGAGCUGUACGUGUGCUGAACGCGGAGGUGCCGUCCGUUCGGCACUAGAUCGUGGGACUGAUCGCAGGACGGUUCGCGGAGCGGAUCCAGGGACGUGAGGACGUUCCACUACAUCAACCGCGUUCACUAACGCUUCUGCUGUACGGUCCACCAGGGUACGUAGAUCACACAUCCCCUCUCGUAGAUGGACAUCACCAUGAUAGGUCUUCGUGCGCGUAGGAAAAUUUUUGUUUCCCAUGCGACGUUCCCCAACACUUUCAUAGCAUAAGCCAACUACCAAAUCACGCACCGCCGUGCUCUAAAAGAUAUAAGUGAAGCACAAAGAGCAAAAGUAUCUAGCUCAAAAGAUAUAAGUGAAGCACUAUGAGCAUUCUAGCAAAAUCACGAUGAGUGCAUGUCUCUCUCUCUCAAAAAAGGUGUGCAGCAAGGAUGAUUGUGACACAACAAAAGGAAAAGACUCCUACAAUACGAUAUGCUCCAAGAAAAAACACAUAUCAUGUCGUGAAUAAAAAUAUAGCUCCAAGUAAUGUUACCGAUGGAUUGAAGACGAAAGAGGGGAUGCCUUCCUGGGGCAUCCCCAAGCUUAGGCUUUUUGGUGUCCUUGAAUUUGGCUUGGGAUUCCUUGGGCAUUCCCAGGCUUGAGCUCUUUCCACUCCUUAUCUCUUUGUCCAUGAGAACAUCACCCAAAACAUGAAAACUUCACAACACAAAACUUAAACAGAAACUCGUGAUAACAUUAGCACAAGAAAACAAACUACCACUUCUUUUGGUACUCUAUCAAACUUGAAUUCUAUCUAUAUUGAUGAUGGGCUACUGUAUUCUCACUUUUCCAUGCCUAGUACCCCCCCCCCGAUACUAACCAUAGUUUCAUCAAAACAAGCAACAAACUCAACAAAAACAGAAUCUGUAAAAAACAGACCAGUCUGUAGCAAUGUGUAUACUUCGUAUACUUCUGGUACCUCAAAAACUCUGAAAAAGUACGAAGGCCUGGGAAAAACCAAAUCAACCAGCAGCAAAAAGAAUCAACUCAAAAUCUCUUUCUGAAUAAAAAUGAAAAAUCAUCUCGUGAGCGAAAAAGUUCCUGUCUUUUUCCAGCAGGAUCAAACAACCAUUACCAAGACUAGUCAUAAAGGCUUUGCUUGGCUCAAACACAAAAAGAAACACAAAAAACACAAUCACAAUAGAAUUAUGAAAGUGUGGACGCAAAAAAACAAAAAUAAAAAGAUAUAUUCAUUGGGUUUCCUCCCAACAAGCGCUAUUGUUUAACGCCCUUAGCUAGGCAUAAAAGCGAUAGAAUCACGUAUCGUCGUCUUUGGUGUUCAAACCAUAAGUGGCCCUCAUCAUGGAUUCAUAAGGCAAUCUUAUUUUCUUUCUAGGAAAGUGUUCCAUGCCCUUCCUUAAAGUAAAUUGAAAUCUAAUAUUCCCUUCUUUCAUAUCGGUGAUAGCAUCAAUAGUCCUUAGGAAAGGUCUACCAAGAAUAAUAGGGCAUGUAGGAUUGCAAUCAAUGUCAAGCACAAUGAAAUCCAUGGGUACAUAGUUCCUAUUUGCAAUAAUAAGAACAUCAUUGAUCCUUCCCAUGGGUUUCUUGAUAGUAGAAUCAGCAAGAUGCAAAUUAAGAGAACACUCUUCAAUCUCAUUAAAACCCAGAACAUCACAUAAAGACUUUGGAAUCGCAGAAACACUAGCACCCAAAUCACACAAAGCAUUGCACUCAUAGUUUUUGAUUUUGAUUCUGAUAGUAGGUUCCCACUCAGCAUGAAGCUUUCUAGGGAUAGAGACUUCCAAUUCAAGUUUCUCUUCAAGAGAUUUUAUCAUAGCUUUGACGAUAUGAUCGGUAAAGGCCUUGUUUUGGCUAUAAGCGUGUGGAGAGUUUAACAUGGAUUGCAUCAAGGAAAUGCAUUCAAUCAAGGAGCAACUAUCAUAAUUGAAUUCCUUGAAAUCCAAGGUAGUAAUUUCAUUACUACUCAAAGUUUUAAUAUCUUCUACUCCACUUUCAAUGCCUUUAGCAUCAAGAUAGAUGGACUCCGAAUCAUUGGGGCGUUUUUCAACCAAAGUGGAUUCAUAUCCAGGCCCAUCAUCAUUGGGUUUGACACAAUAAAACAAAGAUUCAAUGGGAGUCACACCAAGUACUUUAAGAUCUUCGUAAUUCUCAUCAUGAGAACACGCCUUUUUAAGCCAUUCAUGUCAAGCACGAAUUUGGGCGGUUCUUUCUUGGCUCUCAAUCAUGGAAACACGCAUAGCUUUCAAAGUUUCAUCCAUGUUGAUUUUGGGAGUACCACAUCUAACUUUCAAAGCAUCAACAUCACUAGAAAUUCUAUCAACGCUCUUAGCCAAAUCGUCAAUUUUGAGUAGUUUUUCCUCUAUGGACGCAUUGAAACCUUUUGAGAGUUGAUGAACUCUUUGAUAUUACUCUCUAGAUCAGAGGGUAAUCUAUUGUAAUUUCCAUGAGUAUUGUUGUAGGAGUUGCCAAAGUUAUUAGAGGAGUUACUAGGAAAAGGCCUAGGAACAUAGUUUCCUCUAAAAGCAUUGUUGUUGCCAAAUUAUUCCUACCAACAAAACUAACGUCCAAGCUAGCGUUGCUACUCUCAAUCAAAGAAGACAAGGGCAUAUCAUUAGGAUCCAAAGGAGCACUUCUACUAGCAACAAAAUUCAUUAACUCAUCCAUCUUAGCACUUAACGAGUUAAUUUCUUCUAUAGCGUUUACCUUCUUACUAGUAGGUGACCUUUCAGUGUGCCACUGAUAGUAGUUCGUCAUGAUGUUGUCUAAGAGCUUUGUGGCUUCCCCUAACGUGAUUUCCAUGAACGUUCCACCUGAGGCGGAGUCCAAGAUAUUUCUAGAAGCGAAAUUCAAACCAGCGUAAAAGAUUUGAAUAAUCAUCCAAAGACUCAAGCCAUGAGCGGGACAAUUUCUAAUCAUUAAUUUCAUUCUCUCCCAAGAUUGUGCAACAUGUUCAUGAUCAAGUUGCUUGAAAUUCAUGAUAUCCUUACGGAGAGAGAUGAUCUUAGCCGGCAGAAAAUACUUGGAUAUAUAAGCAUCUUUGCACUUAUCCCAAGAAUCGAUACUAUUUUUGGGCAAAGAAGAAAACCAAGUUUUUGCGCGAUCUCGCAACGAGAAAGGAAAAAAGCUUCAAUUUAAUCACGUCAUUAUCCACAUAUUUUUUAUUUUGCAUGUCACAAAUCUCAAUGAAGGUAUUGAGACGGGAUGCGGCAUCUUCACUAGGAAGGCCAGAGAAUUGCUCUUUCAUAACAAGAUUCAGCAAAGCGGCAUUGAUUUCGUAUGGCUCCGCACUAGUGGCGGGAGCAAUCGGAGUACUAAUAAAAUCAUUAUUAUUAGUAUUUGAGAAGUCACAAAGUUUGGUGUUUUCGUUCAUGGUGACUUCAGCAAGCAAGCACACAAGCAAACAAAGAGCAGGUGAGAAAAAGGGCGAACGAAAAGGCGAAGGAAAAAAGGCAAACGAAAAAGGCAAAUUGGUGAAGUGGGGGAGAGGAAAACGAGAGGCAACUGGCAAACAAAGUAAAUGCAAGAGAUGAGUUUGUGACACGUACUUGGAUGAAUCCUUGACUUGAUCUUCCUCCCCGGCAACGACGCCAGAAAUUCUUCUGCUGCGGCAACAAAAGUCCUUCCUUGGCGCUAGGAAUUCUUCUUGUUACUUCUCUGGUUUGCGUCGGUUUUUCCCUUGAAGAGGAAAGGGUGAUGCAGCAAAGGAGCAGUAAGUAUUUCCCUCAGUUUGAGAACCAAGGUAUCGAUCCAGAAGGAGGGCCUCGUCAAGUCCAAAGUACCUGCGCAAACACAAACAAGCUUGCACCCAACGCUUCAAAGGGGUUGUCAAUCCCAUCAAGAUUGUUUGCAAAGUGAGAUCUGAAGGCGGAAAGUGCAACGAAGUAAAAAGUGUAAGGCUGAAAAUAUGGUGUGGAGUUGACCCUGGGGGCCAUAGUGUUCACUAGAGGCUUCUCUCAUAAUAGCAAAUAUCACGGUGGGUGAACAAAUUACUGUCGAGCAAUUGAUAGAACCACGCAAAGUCAUGACGAUAUCUAAGGCAAUGAUCAUACAUAUAGGCAUCACGUCUGAGACAAGUACACCGAUACUUUCUGCAUCUACUACUAUUACUCCACACAUCGACCGCUAUCCAUCCUGCAUCUAGUGUAUUGAGUUCAUGACGAACAGAGUAACGCCUUAAGCAAGAUGACAUGAUGUAGAGGGAUAAUCUCAAACCAAUGAUGAAAACCCCAUAUUUUUACCCUUGAUGGCAACAACACGAUGCGUGCCUCGCUACCCCUUCUGUCAUUGGGUGAGGUCACCGCACGGUAUGAACCCAAAACCAAGCACUUCUCCCAUUGCAAGAAUCGUAGAUCUAGUUGGCCAAACAAAACUCACAACUCGAAGAGAAUUACAAGGAUAUGAAUCAUGCAUAAGAGAGAUCAGAAGAAACUCAAAUAAGAUUCAUAGAUAAUCUGAUCAUAAAUCCACAAUUCAUCGGAUCUCGACAAACACACCGCACAAGAUUAUUACAUCGGAUAGAUCUCCAUGAAGAUCAUCGAGAACUUUGUAUUGAAGAUCCAAGAGAGAGAAGAAGCCAUCUAGCUACUAGCUAUGGACCCGUAGGUCUAUGGUGAUCUACUCACGCAUCAUCGGAGAGGUCAUGGUGUUGAUGAAGAAGCCCUCCGUGUCCGAAUCCCCCCUCCGGCAGGGCACCAGAACGUGCCCCAGAUGGGAUCUUGCGGAGACAGAAGCUUGCGGCGGCGGAAAAGUAAUUUCGAGAUCUCCUGAUUUUGUGGUAUUUUUAGGGAAUUUAUAGGUGCAACCCCUAGGUCAGGGGACGCUCAGGGGGCCCACAAGCCUAUGGGUCGCGGCCUACCCCCCUGGCCACGGGGUGGGGCCUUGUGGGGCCCCUGAGGCUCCCCUGCCUUGGCUCUUAAGCUUCCCGAUCUUCUUCCGUUCCGGAAAAAAAAUAUUUUCGGGGAUUUUCUUCCGUUUGGACUCCGUUUCAAAAUCUCCUCUGAAAGGGGUCAAAAACAUGGAAAAACAGGAACUGGCACUUGGCACUGAGUUAAUAUGUUAGUCCCAAAAAAUUUAUAAAAGGCAUGCAAAACAUCCAAAGUUUGACAAGAUAAUAGCAUGAAACCAUCAAAAAUUAUAGAUACGUUGGAGACGUAUCAGUCUCCUCCUUUGAAUGAUUCAAGUGGCUUGACUUGGCACAUGUUCACGCAUGUAGUUGACACAAAAUCAACAUAGCCUCUACGAUAUUCAUGUUUAUGGUGAUUUAUAUCCUACUCAUGCUUGCACUCAACAUUGGUUAAUUUCAAUUCAUAUUGAUGACUGUUGUCGCUCUCUAGUUGGUCGCUUCCCAGUCUUUUGCUAGCCUUCAUUUGUACUAAGCGGGAAUACUGCUUGUGCACCCACUUCCAUAAACCCAAAGUUGUUCCAUAUGAGUCCACCAUACCUACCUAUAUCCAGUAUCUACCUGUCGUUCCAAGUAAAUUUGCAUGUGCCACUCUCUAAAUCUUCAAAUAAUAAUCGGUUUUGUAUGUCCGAACCGCUCAUGUGGUGACAAGGGGCGGUCAGUAUCUUCCAUGCUAGGCGUGUUAUCCUCGAUACGUGUUUAUUCACUAUCACUCACGAUAAAGGGGUCGGUAAUCGGAAUGCCCAGUUCCAUGCUCAAAUCAAAUCAAAAGUAUAAUUGCAAACAAAACUCCACCUGGAUUGUUGUUGGUAUGGACGGCACCCGAGGAUUCGGCUAGUAGUGGAGUGUGAUUGAUCGGUGGUGGGGGAGUCAAAACUUUACUGUUCUAUUUGGGAACCGCCUAUAAUAUGUGUAGCAUACAAGAUGGUGAAAACUCUUGGUCAUCGCGUUGAGAACGAAAGCAUGCGACCCAAAAUUAUUUAUCUCUGUUUUAAAAGCUUGAGCUCUGGUACCUCUGCAAAUCAAUGCUUCCCUCUGCGAAGGGCCUAUCUAUUUACAUUGUUGUUGAGUCAUCCUCUUCUUAUAAAAGGCACCAAUUAGAGAGCACCUCCAUCAUUUUUAGGAUUUGCUAUUAAUUGAUAUUGAGUAUGACUAUGACUGGAUCUUCUUUGCCAUGAAUUACAAUGUUCAGUCAGCCCUUGGUCUUUGAAGGUGCUCAGCAUUUAUGUUUUGCGGUCUCAGAAAGGGCUAGUGAGAUACCAUCUAUUCAUAUUGUAUCAUGAUUGUUUUGAUUGAAGUGUUGAUGUUUGAAACUUAUUAUUAUUGCUCGCUAGUUGAUUAUGCCAUUGAUAUGAGUACACCAUGAGACCUAAAUGCUAUUUCUUAUGUGGUUAGCUUAUGAUCUUGCUGAAAAUCCGAAUAUGAGUUAGACAUAAUUACAACAACAAGAUCAAACAGGGUUCGUAAAAGUUUUUCUUUUGUCUCUUUCAGUUUGUCAACUGAAUUGCUUGAGGACAAGCAAGGCUUUAAGUUGGGGGAGUUGAUACGUCUCCAUCGUAUCUACUUUUCCAAACUCUUUUGCCCUUGUUUUGGACUCUAAUUUGCAUGAUUUGAAUGGAACUAACCCGGACUAACGCUCUUUUUAGCAGAAUUGCCAUGGUGUUGUUUUUGUGUAGAAAUAAAAGUUCUCGGAAUGACCUGGAAACUUACGAGGAUUUUUUGUGAAAUAUAUAAAAAAUACUGGCGCAAGAAUUACCCGAAGACACGGAUCCAGGGGCCCACGAGCCUAGGAGGCGCCCCCUAGGGCACGCCUCGCACGCUCGUGGGGCCCACGUGGCUCCGCAACCUCCAACUCCAACUCUAUAUAAUGUCUCUCACCCAGAAAAAAUCAGGAGAGAAGAGUUCAUCGCGUUUCACGAUACGGAGCCGCCGCCACCUCCUGUUCUUCCUCGGGGGGGCAGAUGUGGAGUCCGUUCUGGGCUUCAUCAACCAUCCUCCAUUGCCAAUUCCAUGAUGCUCUCCAUCAUCCAAGUAAUCUCAUCGUAGGCUUCUUGGACAAUGAUGGGUUGGAUGAGAUCUAUCAUGUAAUCGAGUUAGUUUUGAUGGGGUUUGAUCCCUAGUAUCCACUAUCUUCUAAGAUUGAUGUUGCUACUACUUUGCUAUGCUUAAUGCUUGUCACUAGGGCCCGAGUGACAUGAUUUUAGAUCUGAACCUAUUAUAUAUGUUUUCAUCAAUAUAUGUGUCUUCUUGAUCCUAUCUUGCAAAUUGUAGUCACCUACUAUGUGUUAUGACCCGGCAACCCCGGAGUGACAAUAGCCGGAACCACUCCCGGAGAUGACCAUAGUAUGAGGAGUUCAUGUAUUCACUAUGUGCUAAUGCUUUGUUACGGUUCUUUAUUAAAAGGAGACAUUAAUAUCCCUUAGUUUCCAUUAGGACCUCGCUGCCACGGGAGGGAUGGACAAAAGAUGUCAUGCAAGUUCUUUUCCAUAAGCACGUAUGACUAAAUACGGAAUACAUGCCUACAUUACAUUGACGAACUGGAGCUAGUUGCACAUCACCCUAUGUUAUAACUAUUAGAUGAUGAAUGCCAUCCGACAUAAUUAUCCAUCACCGAUCCAAUGCCUACGAGCUUUUCCUAUACUGGUCCUUGCUAAGUUACUUUACCGCUACUGUUGUCACACUUGCUAUACAAAUUACUAAUGCUACUGUUACCGCCGCUACCGUUACUGUCAUACUACUUUGCCACUAAAACUUUUCUGCACAUACUAAGUCUUUCAGGUGUGGUUGAAUUGACAACUCAACUGCUAAUACUCGAGAGUAAUCUUUGGCUCCCCUUGUGUCGAAUCAAUAAAUUUGGGUUGAAUACUCUACCCUCGAAAAAUGUUGCGAUCCCCUAUACUUGUGGGUUAUCACGCACCACCUCUUGGGCCCAUGUGCCCCCCCCCCGGUGGGUGGGCCCAUUCCGGUGGACCCCCGGAACCCAUUCUUCACUCCCAAUACACUACCCGAAAUGGUUGAAACCUUUCCGAAACCCAAAUUCCACUUUCCUAUCUGUAAAUCUUUACCUCCGGACCAUUCUGGAACUCCUCGUCACAUUCGGGAUCUCAUCCGGAACUCUGAACAACCUUCGGUCACCAACACACAUAACUCAAUAAUACCGAAACAUCUCCUAACCUUAUGUGUCCAGACCCUGCAGGUUCGAGAACUAUUCAGACAUGAUCGAGACACUCUCCGGUCAAUAACCAAUAGCGGGACAUGGAUGCACAUAUUGGUUCCCACAUAGUCUACGAAGAUCUUUAUCGGUUGAACCUCUAUGUCAAGGAUUCAUUUAAUCCCGUAUGUUGUUCCCUUUGUACAUCGGUAUGUUACUUGCGUGAUCGUCGGUAUUUUCAUACCUAGUUCAAUCUCGUUACCAGCAAGUCUCUUUACUCGUUCUGUAAUACAAGAUCCCAUGACUAACUCCUUAGUCUCAUUGCUUGCAAGCUUCUUGUGAUGUUGUAUUACCGAGUGGAUCCUAGAGAUACCUCUCCGUCAUACGGAGUCAUAGAUCCCAGUCUUGAUCCAUGCCAACUCAACAGACACCCUCAGAAAUACCUAUAGAUCACAUUUAUAGUCACCCAGUUACGUUGUGACGUUUGAGACACACAAGGCAUUCCUUCGGUGUCCGGGAGUUGCAUGAUCUCAUGGUCAUAGGAACACAUAUUCGACAUGCAGAAAACAAUAGCAAUAAACUCACACGAUCAUGUGCUAUGUUCAUAGUUUGGGUCUUGUCCAUCACAUCAUUCUCCUAAUGAUGUGAUCUCGUUAUCAAAUGACAACUCAUGUCUAUGGCCAGGAAACCUUGAUCAUAUUUGAUGAACGAGCUUGUUCUUUAGAGACUCACUAGGGACAGUGUGUUGUCUAUGUAUCCACACAUGUAUUUGAGUUUUCAAUCAAUACAAUUCAAGAAUGGAUAAUAAACGAUUAUCAUGAACAAGGAAAUUUAAUAAUAACCACUUUAUUAUUGCCUCUAGGGCAUAUUUCCAACAAAAUCCAUAUAAAUGCUACGGCUCGCGUACUUACUUUGAGCGUCUUCAAAAUGCUUGUUGAUGUGAUCUAGCUCCUCUUUGGAAAAUCUUAAUUUCUAAUUCAUUUCCACCAACUCCAAAGAGUUGGGGGCUGCGGCUGACGGAGAGGCGUGCAAAAGAGCAUAUUGUGUUCAUUUUCAAAUAUCCUUUUUGCUAGGAUGUGUUCUGGUUAACCCACCAGAGCCUUAGGGGCUGCACGCCUUGUUUUACAAAUAAUUCUAACCACUGCACGAGUCUUUCUAACUCACACAGGGCUUUGGGAUACUGGGUAUAAUAAAAUUUUAAGACACUGCAUAGUUAUAAACAAAAAAGUAUGCGGUUUACCUUGAUGCCUGCUAACAGUGUGUCGAAAGCUCCUUUGAGACCGCUAUCAACGAAGUGAAUACUUUGCAAAACUGCACUCAUAUGAGUGUGGCAUUCUUCGGGAAUGGAGGGGUCAUUUAGACCUUCCUCCCUCAGCUCUGGCCAUCUAGUCCGGACUGGUUCCGUCGUGGAUGGCUCCAGGUGCGACGUAGUAGUCUCCCUUAGCGGAGAGACCACUACCGCUGGCACCGAAGACACGGGAUUCUUCGAAGUAGUCUUUGGAGGAGUCUCCGAGGGUCCGGGCCCUCCCUCAUUCAUUGCCAAGGGGAGUUCAUCCUCCUGGUCCUUGGUGACCGAAGUAUUGGCCUCAGCCAUGGUAUCGUCACCCCCGGUCGUGGUAUCCGGCUCAGUGGGGACCUCCUUGGAUACCACUUCUACGGUCCCUUCGGCCAUAUGGGGAGGUGAGCAGGGUGAUCCGGUCCCGCUUUCUCCCAGGUUAGCUGGCAGGGAAUCCCCCUCUGAAAUCUGAUCGGUGGGAAGAUCACGUUGUAGGCUGUAAUACAAAGAAUAAGCCUAAUUAGAACCGCAAUAAUUUGAUUGAAGUUGUGUUCGGAUAUUUCGUACAUACCUUUUGGAUUUGGGCUUCACCAUGAGGAUCCUUCGAGGGACCGGUGCUUCAUCCGUAGACUCCUCAUCUGAGUCCAUAAUAUCAUUGAAUAGAACCAUAGGGUCCCUACAUGGCUUCUUCGAAGCAACAGGAGCAUGGUCUCCCUCGGCGUCUUUGGACGCCACUCUCUUUUUGGUAUGAGAGGAGUCACUCACCUCCUCCUCAUCAUCCUCUUCUUCUCCCUCCAUGUGGGAGGGAGCUAGUGUCUCUUCAGACUUGGUAUCCGGGGGACCCUUUGAUUCCUUUCUUCUGUUCAUCCUUCUCCCUCUGAGCCGUCUACGGUUUCUCAACCAACAUGGCCGCCAGCACAGCGGUCAUGGCGUCCUCGGGCAGAGGCAUCACACAGUUAAUCUGUCCAGAUUUAUUUUUCCACAUCUACGGGUGUGAGGGAGGAAUAGGUAAGUGACUUAUUAGAGGAUGCAUGAAAGUUAAAACAAUUCGGUAAAAAUCUUAUCGGUCUAGUGAGGAGGGAAAGGCCUUCAUCCUCCUCCUCGUCGGGCCAAGUCUUUUGCGACUUGAAUAGAGCCUUCCAUAGCUUUUCGAGUGAGGUACGAAAAAAACUCCGUACCGAGCCAGCUGUAUUGUCCGGAUCCUCUGGAUCAUGCUCCCACAUCGCGACGGGCCGACGCUGGUAGGGGAGAAGGCCGCAAUGCAGCAUCACAUGUACCACGUUGGUAAGGUAUAUCUUCUCCGUUAGACUGGAGAUCCUCUUCGUGAGCUCCUUCACGUCGGCGGCCUCCCUCUAAUCUAGGGCCUUCUCCGUCGAGGAUGUGAGGCGCGUAGCGGUGCCAGAUCUGAAUGCAGGAGGAGCUACUUCGUCGACAUUGUGUGGCUCGGUGAUGUAGAACCACUCCUUUAGCCGUGACUUGAUAGUGUCGAUGAAUGCGCCCUUUGGCCAUGUAGCCCCAUUGAGCUUGUUGAUCAUUGCCCCUCCACAGUCAGCCUGCUAGCCGUUGACGACUUUGGGCUUGACGUUGAGGACCUUCAGCCACAGGACGAAGUGAGGUUGGACCCGUAGGUAUGCCUCACAGACCAUGAUGAAGGCAGAGAGAUGGGUUUUGGAGUUGGAGAGGAGAUCGUGGAAGUCGAGACCAUAGUAAAACAUGAUCCCUCGAACAAAUGGGUGAAGGGGGAAGCUUAAACCUCUAAUGAAAUGAGGGAUAAAAACCACUCUUUCCCCCAUCCCAUGGUGUGGGGAUAACUAGGCCCUCCUCCGACGCACGGUGGCUAUGUUUUCUGGGAGAUAGCCAUAGCUCUUCAGCUCCAAGAUGUCUUUUUCAAAGAUGGAGGAAACGCCCACUUCCCCUUGGAACCAGUGUUGGCCAUUGCCGGACUGGUGACAGGGUUCAAAUGCUUGGGAGGAGAAGAAGGGACUAGGGCGUUAGAGCUUGGAGAAAGGGGAACGACAAUGGCAAGCAAGAUCUGAGGUGCGGGAGGAGGCUGAGGUGACCAUUUUUACCUUUUAUGACUUGCUAGAAUACCGAAGGCCUCGCUGAUGUACCAUAAACUCCGCCACCGCGUGAUAAACUCGCGAUUAUGGGUGUGGGGGAUAGGCCUAAGCCAUAAACCAUAUCCCUGAAAAUGGGACACGAUCUCCAUGAUGGGACGUGCCAAAUAAAACGCUCUUCAGCCGCUCGUUCAAAAAAAAUUGUGGCCUUUCGGUUUAGGAAAGAUGUCGCCCCUUGUUGAAAAAGGUAGGCCCGGGAAUAAAAAUAUGUAUAUUUGACUUCAUGUUUAAAAGGGAAUGAAUCGUCAAGAGCCGAGCUAUCUUCGGUCGGACAAUAAAGGAGGAACUCGCCUCGCAAGCCUUUAUCCCAUGACGUCAACUAUGGAGGAGGAUUUUGUUAUUGGAGGCUAGUUCGGGGGCUAGUCAGGGAGUCCGGGACUAGGUGGUCCUCGGGCCGCUUUCCUAUCGGUAUGGGUCGGCUUUUCAGAGUAGUUCGACCCUUGACAGAAGUGGUGUAUUCUAGAUGGACUCUUCCGAAGACUUGGCGUGCAAUCCAAGGAGAUAUAGGCAUCGGCAUAUUCCUUUUCUGUUGUAACCAACCUUGUGUAAAUCUUGACACCCCUAGCUUCUACAUAAGCCAGGGGGUCAUAGCUCGCACGGUACAUCAAGCUCAUUACAGUUAGGGUUUAGACCGCAACAUCGAUCUCACAGUAGUUCAACCUGGUACUCUGUACCAUCUCAUCAAUAACAGCAAAAGCGUGACGUAGGGUUUUACCUCCAUCAAGAGGACCCGAACCUGAGUAAAACACCACCCCCAUCGUAUCUUGUUACUCAUCGACCCUAGAUCCACAGUUCGGAACCCCUACUCGAGAUCGGCCGAUUUUCACACCGACAGCUGGUGGCCGGGCGUUGCAGCACAUCGGCGGUCCAACAUGGGCCGGCGAGAGGGGUGUGGCAGUGAUGCGGCGGGUGGCUUGGUGGUGGUGCAGGCCGGCUGGCGGUGACGGCGGAGGCGGCUCCGUGCGUCCGGAUCCGCCUCUGGCCCUGCGGGUCACGGGCGGCUUUUCUCGUCAUGGCGUGAUGCUGUGGGGGUAGCGCGACAACGGUGGAUGUGGAUGAUCUCAUCCAAUCUGGCCCUUACGGCUGGAUCGUGGCGCUCGGCACGGUAGGGCCUCCCUGGUGAGCUACCUCGGUUGCGGCGGCAGGUCGAUCAGGUCUCCCUCGUUGGCAGGCACACAUUUGCGGAUGACCUCGCGGAUCAUCUGCCCUGGUUGGGUUGGCACAGCUCUACCAGCGGAGCGUUUCAGGGUAACUAUCGGUCGAGGGCCGUCGGUUGAUCCAAAGCCGAGUCCUUUGUGUAGGUCUCGAGGAUGUCUGGUUGUAGGGUGGCGGCUCUAGCGGUGGGAGGCGCGGCGUUUGUGAGCAGAGCGUGCGUCUUAGGUGCGGACGGGCAACCAUGGCCUGGCGGCUGGCGUGAUUGAGGGUGGUUGACGGAAUUUGGGUAGGCUAGUAGGGGCGAGUGUCGGGGUACACCACUUGCCGAGUCCUUUGACUCACCGACGGUAGUGCUACCAACGUCGUCGUACACUUCCCGAAGGCUUCAUUGCCUCAUGCCGUCUUGCUCCGGGUGAAAACUUGAUCUUCCCGGAUUGGGCGGUGGCGGCUAUCUUGGUUGUACCCUUCUUGGAGACACUGCUUUGAAGGCUUGGAUUCGUUAUUGUCUGACUCACCUCUUUAUUGUUGUCGAUGGGGUGGUUUGUCGAUGCCCGACAUCUUUAUAUAUUGCCUUGGGUGUGUGUAUUGUGUGUGUUGUUUGGUCUUUCGGUUGUAUUCGAUAAUGGUUGCUUUAUCUUUACCUAAUAAUAAAGAGGCUAUCGCUUCCUUCGGAAUUUCCACCGCACCAGUUUGUUGGGGAACGUCGCAUGGGAAACAAAAAUUUUCCUACACGCACGAAGACCUAUCAUGGUGAUGUCCAUCUACGAGAGGGGAUGAGUGAUCUACGUACCCUUGUAGAUCGUACAGCAGAAGCGUUAGUGAACGCGGUUGAUGUAGUGGAACGUCCUCACGUCCCUCGAUCCGCCCCGCGAACAAUCCCGCGAUCAGUCCCACGAUCUAGUACCGAACGGACGGCACCUCCACGUUCAGCACACGUACAGCUCGACGAUGAUCUCGGCCUUCUUGAUCCAGCAAGAGAGAUGGAGAGGUAGAAGAGUUCUCCGGCAGCGUGACGGCGCUCCGGAGGUUGGUGAUGACCUUGUCUCAGCAGGGCUCCGCCCGAGCUCCGCAGAAAUGCGAUCUACAGGAAAAACCGUGGAGGUAUGUGGUCGGGCUACCGUGGAAAAGUCGUCUCAAAUCAGCCCUAAAACCUCCGUAUAUAUAGGUGGGAGGGAGGGGACCUUGCCUUGGGGCUCAAGGAGCCCCAAGGGGGUCGGCCGAGUCCAAGGGGGGAGGACUCCCCCCCCAAACCGAGUUGGACUUGGUUUGGUGGGAGGGACUCCCCCUUCCUUCCCACCUCCACCUUUUUUUUCUUUUUCUCUUGAUUUUCUCUUCUUGGCACAUAGAGCCCUUUUGGGCUGUCCCACCAGCCCACUAAGGGCUGGUGUGCCACCCUCAAGGCCUAUGGGCUUCCCUGGGGUGGGUUGCCCCCCCCGGUGAACUCCCGGAACCCAUUCGUCAUUCCCAGUACAUUCCCGGUAACUCCGAAAACCUUCCGGUAAUCAAAUGAGGUCAUCCUAUAUAUCAAUCUUCGUUUUCGGACUAUUCCGGAAACCCUCGUGACGUCCGUGAUCUCAUCCGGGACUCCGAACAACAUUAGGUAACCAACCAUAUAACUCAAAUACGCAUAAAACAACGUCGAACCAUAAGUGUGCAGACCCUGCGGGUUCGAGAACUAUGUAGACAUGACCCGAGAGACUCCUCGGUCAAUAUCCAAUAGCGGGACCCGGAUGCCCAUAUUGGAUCCUACAUAUUCUACGAAGAUCUUAUCGUUUGAACCUCAGUGCCAAGGAUUCAUAUAAUCCUGUAUGUCAUUCCCUUUGUCCUUCGGUAUGUUACUUGCCUGAGAUUCGAUCGUCAGUAUCCGUAUACCUAUUUCAAUCUCGUUUACCGGCAAGUCUCUUUACUCGUUUCGUAAUACAAGAUCCCGCAACUUACACUAAGUUACAUUGCUUGCAAGGCUUGUGUGUGAUGUUGUAUUACCGAGUGGGCCCCGAGAUACCUCUCCGUUCACACGGAGUGACAAAUCCCAGUCUUGAUCCAUACUAACUCAACGAACACCUUCGGAGAUACCUGUAGAGCAUAUUUAUAGUCACCCAGUUACGUUGCGACGUUUGAUACACACAAAGCAUUCCUCCGGUGUCAGUGAGUUAUAUGAUCUCAUGGUCAUAGGAAUAAAUACUUGACACGUAGAAAACAGUAGCAACAAAAUGACACGAUCAACAUGCUAUGUCUAUUAGUUUGGGUCUAGUCCAUCACGUGAUUCUCCUAAUGACGUGAUCCAGUUAUCAAGCAACAACACCUUGUUCAUAAUCAGAAGACACUGACUAUCUUUGAUCAACUGGCUAGCCAACUAGAGGCUUGCUAGGGACGGUGUUUUGUCUAUGUAUCCACACAUGUAAAUGAGUCUUCAUUCAAUACAAUUAUAGCAUGGAUAAUAAACGAUUAUCUUGAUACAGGAAUUAUAAUAAUAACUAUAUUUAUUAUUGCCUCUAGGGCAUAAUUCCAACAGUCUCCCACUUGCACUAGAGUCAAUAAUCUAGCCCUCACAUCACUAUGUGAAUUACAUUUUAAUAAAUCUAACACCCAUACAGUUCUGGUGUUGAUCAUGUUUUGGCCGUGGAAGAGGUUUAGUCAGCGGGUCUGCUACAUUCAGAUCCGUGUGCACUUUGCAUAUAUUCACGUCCUCUCCCUCGACGUAGUCGCGGAUGAGGUUGAAGCGUCGUUUGAUGUGUCUGGUCUUCUUGUGAAACCGUGGUUCCUUUGCUAAGGCAAUGGCACCAGUGUUGUCACAGAACAAGGUUAUUGGAUUCAGUGCGCUUGGCACCACUCCAAGAUCCGUCAUGAAUUGCUUCAUCCAGAUACCCUCCUUAGCUGCCUCCGAGGCAGCCAUGUACUCCGCUUCACAUGUAAAAUCUGCUACGACGCUUUGCUUGGAACUGCACCAGCUUACUGCACCCUCAUUAAGAAUAAAUACGUAUCCGGUCUGCGACUUAGAGUCGUCCGGAUCUGUGUCAAAGCUUGCAUCGACGUAACCUUUUACGGCGAGCUCUUUGUCACCUCCAUACACGAGAAACAUCUCCUUGGUCCUUUUCAGGUACUUCAGGAUAUUCUUGACCGCUGUCCAGUGAUCCACUCCUGGAUUACUCUGGAACCUACCUGCCAUACUUAUGGCCAGGCUAACAUCCGGUCUAGUGCACAGCAUCGCAUACAUGAUAGAACCUAUGGCUGAAGCAUAGGGGACGGAGCGCAUAUGCUCUCUAUCUUCAUCAGUUGCUGGGCACUGAGUCUUACUCAAUCUCGUACCUUGUAGAACUGGCAAGAACCCUUUCUUGGACUGUUCCAUUUUGAACCUCUUCAAAACUUUAUCAAGGUAUGUGCUUUGUGAAAGUCCUAUCACGCGUUUUGAUCUAUCCCUAUAGAUCUUAAUGCCUAGAAUGUAAGCAGCUUCUCCUAGGUCCUUCAUAGAGAAACUUUUAUUCAAGUAAUCCUUUAUGCUCUCUAAAAACUCUACGUUGUUUCCAAUCAGUAAUAUGUCAUCCACAUAUAAUAUUAGAAACGCCACAGAGCUCCCACUCACUUUCUUGUAAAUACAAGAUUCUCCAACCACUUGUAUAAACCCAAAUGCUUUGAUCACCUCAUCAAAGCGUUUGUUCCAACUCCGAGAUGCUUGCACCAGUCCACAAAUGGAUCGCUGGAGCUUGCACACCUUGUUUGAGAUGCUCGCACCAGUCCAUAAAUGGAUCGAUGGAGCUUGCACACCUUGUUAGCAUUCUUAGGAUCGACAAAACCUUCGGGUUGUAUCAUAUACAACUCUUCCUUAAGGAGACCGUUAAGGAACGCCGUUUUGACAUCCAUCUGCCAGAUUUCAUAAUCGAAAAAUGCAGCUAUUGCUAACAUCAUUCUAACGGACCUAAGCAUCGCUACGGGUGAGAAAGUCUCAUCAUAGUCAACUCCUUGAACUUGUGAAAAACCCUUUGCCACAAGUCGAGCUUUAUAAACGGUCACAUUACCGUGAGCGUCCGUCUUCCUCUUAAAGAUCCAUUUGUUCUGAAUGGCCUUGCGGCCCUCAGGCAGUACCUCCAAAGUCCACACUUUGUUCUCAUACAUGGAUCCUAUCUCGGACUUCAUGGCUUCCAGCCAUUUGUUGGAAUCUGGGCCCACCAUUGCUUCUUCAUAAUUCGCAGGUUCAUUGUUGUCUAACAACAUGAUUGAUAAGACGGGAUUACUGUACCACUCUGGAGCAGCACGUGGUCUCGUCGACCUGUGUGGUUCGACAGAAACUUGAACUGGAGUUUCAUGAUCAUCAUCAUUAACUUCCUCCCCAACCGGCGUCGCAAUGACAGAGGUUUCCCCUUGCCCUGCGCCACCAUCCAAAGGGAUGAGAGGUUCGACAACCUCGUCAAGUUCUAUCUUCCUCCCACUCAAUUAUCUCGAGAGAAACUCCUUCUCGAGAAAAGCUCCGUUUUUAGCAACAAACACUUUGCCCUCGGAUUUGAGAUAGAAGGUGUACCCAACUGUCUCUUUUGGGUAACCUAUGAAGAUGCACUUUUCCGCAUUGGGUUCCAGCUUUUCAGGCUGAAGCUUUUUGACAUAAGCAUCACAUCCCCAAACUUUAAGAAACGACAACUUUGGCCUUUUGCCAUACCACAGUUCGUAUGGUGUCGUCUCAACGGAUUUUGAUUGUGCCCUAUUUAAAGUGAAUGCAGUUGUUUCUAAUGCAUAGCCCCAAAAUGAUAACGGCAAAUCGGUAAGAGACAUCAUAGAUCGCACCAUCUCUAAUAGAGUACGAUUACGACGUUCGGACACACCAUUACGCUGUGGUGUUCCAGGCGGUGUUAACUGUGAAACAAUUCCACAUUGUCUUAAGUGAGCACCAAACUCGAAACUCAGAUAUUCACCCCCACGAUCAGACCGUAGGAACUUGAUCUUCUUGUUACGAUGAUUUUCCACUUCACUCUGAAAUCGCUUGAACUUUUCAAAUGUUUCAGACUUGUGCUUCAUCAAGUAGACAUAACCAUAUCUACUUAAAUCGUCAGUGAAGGUGAGAAAAUAACGAUAUCCGCCGCGUGCCUCCACGCUCAUCGGACCACACACAUCGGUAUGUAUGAUUUCCAACAAGUCACUUGCACGCUCCGUUGUUCCUGAGAACGGAGUCUUAGUCAUCUUGCCCAUGAGGCAUGGUUCGCACGUGUCAAGUGAAUCAAAGUCAAGUGACUCCAAAAGUCCAUCAGCAUGGAGUUUCUUCAUGCGCUUUACACCAAUAUGACCUAAGCGGCAGUGCCACAAAAAUAUGGCGCUAUCAUUGUUAACUCUAACUCUUUUGGUCUCAAUGUUAUGUAUAUGCGUAUCGUUAUCAAGAUUCAAUAUGAACAAUCCUCUCACAUUCGGUGCAUGACCAUAAAAGAUGUUACUCAUAGAAAUAGAACAACCAUUAUUCUCUGACUUAAAAGAGUAACCGUCUCGCAAUAAACAAGAUCCAGAUAUAAUGUUCAUGCUCAACGCAGGCACCAAAUAACAAUGAUUUAAGUUCAUCACUAAUCCUGACAGGAACUGAAGUGACACUGUGCCGACGGCGAUUGCAUCAUCCUUGGAACCAUUUCCUACGCGCAUCGUCACUUCAUCUUUCGCCAGCCUUCGCCUAUUCCGCAGUUCCUGUUUCGAGUUGCAAAUAUGAGCAACAGAACCGGUAUCGAAUACCCAGGCACUACUACGAGAGCCGGUUAAGUACACAUCAAUAACAUGUAUAUCAAAUAUACCUGAUUUUUCUUUGCCCGCCUUCUUAUCUGUCAGAUACUUGGAGCAAUUGCGCUUCCAGUGACCCAUACCCUUGCAAUAGUAACACUCCGUUUCCGGCUUAGGUCCAGCUUUGGGUUUCUUCGUCGGAUUGGCAAUAGGCUUGCCGCUCCUUUUCGAAUUGCCCUUCUUGCCUUUGCCGUUUCUCUUGAAACUAGUGGUCUUAUUCACCAUCAACACUUGAUGCUCUUUACGGAGUUCAGACUCUGCGACUUUCAGCAUCGCAAACAACUCGCCGGGAGACUUGUUCAUCCCUUGCAUGUUGUAGUUCAACACAAAGCCUUUAUAGCUUGGCGGCAGUGAUUGAAGGAUUCUGUCAGUGAUAGCUUCUUGCGGGAGUUCAAUCCCCAGCUCAGCUAGACGGUUUGAGUACCCAGACAUUCUGAGCACAUGUUCACUGACAGAUGAGUUUUCCUCCAUCUUGCAAGCAUAGAAUUUAUCAGAGGUCUCAUACCUCUCGAUCCGGGCGUUCUUCUGAAAGAUAAACUCCAACUCCUGGAACAUCUCAAAUGCUCCAUGACGCUCAAAGCGACGUUGAAGUCCCGGUUCUAAGCCAUACAAGACUGCACAUUGAACUACUGAGUAGUCCUCCUUACGUGCUAACCAAGCGUUCUUAACAUCCUGAUCAGCCGUAGCGGAUGGUUCAUCUCCUAACGCAGCAUUAAGGACAUAAUCCUUCUUCCCAGCUUGUAAGACUAGCUUAAGAUUACGAGCCCAGUCUACAAAGUUGCUUCCAUCAUCUUUCAACUUAGCUUUCUCUAGGAACGUAUUAAAAUUCAGGAUGACUGUCGCGUGAGCCAUGAUCUACAACACAAAUAUAUUCAAAGUGGACUUAGACUAUGUUCAAGAUAAUUAGAGUUUAACUUAAUCAAAUUAUUCGCUAAACUCCCACUCAAAAAGUACAUCUCUCUAGUCAUUUGAGUGGUUCAUGAUCCACUUACACUAGCUCAAGUCCGAUCAUCACGUGAGUUGAGUAUAGUUUCAGUGCUAAGCAUCCCUAUGCUAAUCAUAUCAUCUAUAUGAUUCAUGAUCCACCUUUCGGUCUCAUGUGUUCCGAGGCCAUGUCUGCACAUGCUAGGCUCGUCAAGCUUAACCCGAGUGUUCCGCGUGCCCAACUGUUUUGCACCCGUUGUAUGUGAACGUUGAGUCUAUCACACCCGAUCAUCACCUGGCGUCUCGAAACGACGAACUGUAGCAACGGUGCACAGUCGGGGAGAACACAAUUUCGUCUUGAAAUUUUAGUGAGAGAUCACCUCAUAAUGCUACCGUCGUUCUAAGCAAAAUAAGGUGCAUAAAAGGAUUAACAUCACAUGCAAUUCAUAAGUGACAUGAUAUGGCCAUCAUCACGUGCUCCUUGAUCUCCAUCACCAAAGCACCAACACGAUCUUCUUGUCACCGGCGCCACGCCAUGAUCUCCAUCAACGUGUCGCCAUCGGGGUUGUCGUGCUACUCAUGCUAUGGCGCCACACCAUGAUCUCCAUCAACGUGUUGCCAUCGGGGUUGUCGUGCUACUCAUGCUAUUACUACUAAAUCUACAUCCUAGCAAAAUAGUAAACGCAUCUGCAAGCACACACGUUAGUAUAAAGACAACCCUAUGGCUCCUGCUGGUUGCCGUACCAUCGACGUGCAAGGCGAUAUUUCUAUUACAACAUGAUCAUCUCAUACAUCCAAUAUAUCACAUCACAUCAUUGGCCAUAUCACAUCACAAGCAUACCCUGCAAAAACAAGUUAGACGUCCUCUAAUUUUGUUGUUGCAUGUUUUACGUGGUGACCAUGGGUAUCGAGUAGGAUCGCAUCUUACUUACGCAAACACCACAAUGGAGAUAUAUGAGUUGCUAUUUAACCUCAUCCAAGGACCUCCUCGGUCAAAUCCGAUUCAACUAAAGUUGGAGAAACCGACACUUGCCAGUCAUCUUUGAGCAACGGAGUUACUCGUAACGAUGAAACCAGUCUCUCGUAAGCGUACGAGUAAUGUCGGUCCAAGCCGCUUCAAUCCAACAAUACCGCGGAAUCAAGAAAAGACUAAGGAGGGCAGCAAAACGCACAUCACCUCCCACAAAAACUUUUGUGUUCUACUCGAGAAGACAUCUACGCAUGAACCUAGCUCAUGAUGCCACUGUUGGGGAACGUCACAUGGGAAACAAAAAAUUUCCUACGCGCACGAAGACCUAUCAUGGNNNNNNNNNNNNNNNNNNNNNNNNNNNNNNNNNNNNNNNNNNNNNNNNNNNNNNNNNNNNNNNNNNNNNNNNNNNNNNNNNNNNNNNNNNNNNNNNNNNNAGAAGAGAAGAAACUCAAAUAAGAUUCAUAGAUAAUCUGAUCAUAAAUCCACAAUUCAUUGGAUCUCGACAAACACACCGCAAAAGAAGAUUACAUCGGAUAGAUCUCCAUGAAGAUCAUGGAGAACUUUGUAUUGAAGAUCCAAGAGAGAGAAGAAGCCAUCUAGUUACUAGCUAUGGACCCAUAGGUCUAUGGUGAACUACUCACGCAUCAUCGGAGAGGUCAUGGUGUUGAUGAAGAAGCCUUCCGUGUCCGAAUCACCCCUCCGGCAGGGCACCAGAACAUGCCCCAGAUGGGAUCUUGCGGAGACAGAAGCUUGCGGCGGCGAAAAAGUACUUUCGAUGAUCUCCUCAUUUUUUUUGGGAUUUUUAGGGAAUAUAUAGUCGCAACCCCUAGGGCAGAGGGCGUCCAGGGGGCCCACAAGCCUGUGGGCUGCGGCCUCCCCCCCUGGCCGCGGGGUGAGGGCUUGUGGGGCCCCUAGGGCCCCAUGCUUUGGCUCUCAAGUCUCCUGAUCUUCUUCCGUUACGGAAAAUUCUUUUUGGGGAUUUUAUUCCGUUUGGACUCCGUUUCAAAAUCUCCUCUGAAAGGGGUCAAAAACAUGGAAAAACAGGAACUGGCACUUGGCACUGAGUUAAUAAGUUAGUCCCAAAAAAUAUAUAAAAGGCAUGCAAAACAUCCAAAGUCUGACAAGAUAAUAGCAUCAAACCAUCAAAAUUAUAGAUACGUUGGAGACGUAUCAAGCAUCCCCAAGCUUAACUCCUGCUCGUCCUCGAGUAGGGAAGUGGUAAAGAAUGAUUUUUUUAUGUGGAAUGCUACCUAGCAUAGUUGUCCUUUGCAACUUCUUUCAGGUGACAUGAAUGUUCAGAUCCGUAAGAUUCAAAACAAUAGUUUGCUAUUGACAUGAAAACAAUAAUACUUCAAGCAAACUAGCAAAGUAAUCAUGAACUUUCAAAAUAACAAGGCCAAGGAAAGUUACCCCUACAAAAUCAUAUAGUCUAGCUAUGCUCCAUCAUCCUCACACAACUAAUUUAAAUCAUGUACAACCCCGGUAUUGGCCAAGUAAUUUCUUUCGCACUCUUACUUUCUCAAACUUUUUAUAACUAUCACGCAAUACAUGAGCGUGAGCCAUGGAUAUAGCACUAUAGGUGGAAUAGAGUGUGGUGGUGGUUGUGAGACAAAAAGGAGGAGAUGGUCACAUUGACUCGGCGUAUCAAAAGGCUAUGGAGAUGCCCAUUAAUAGAUAUCAAUGUGAAUGAGUAGGGAUUUCCAUACAAAGGAUGAACUAGAGCUAUAAGUGUAUGAAAGCUCAAAAGUAGAACUAGUGGGUGUGCAUCCAACUUGCUUGCUCACGAAGACCUAGGGUAAUUUUGAGGAAGCCCAUCAUUGGAAUAUACAAGCCAAGUUAUAUAAUAAAGAUUCCCACUAGCAUAUGGUAGUGACAAAGCAAGAAGCUCUCAAUCAUGAAGAACAUGGUGUUAUUAUGAAGCACAAGUGUGGAAAAAGAUAGUAGCAUUGUCCCUUCUCUCUUUUUCUCUCCUCUUUUUUUGGGGCUCUUAGGCCUCUUUUUUUUAUUUGGGCUCUUUGGCCUCUCUUUUUUUAUUUCCUCACAUGGGACAAUGCUCUAAUGAUGAUCAUCACACUUUUAUUUACUCACAACUCAAAGCUUAGAACGAUGAUGACUCUAUAGGAAAUGCCUCCGGCAGUGUACCGGGAUGUGCAACGAUCUAGCUUGGCGUAUAACGUUGAAACAUCUCGCUAGCUAUCUUACGAGCAUGCAAUGGCAACAUGAGAGUGACGGCACAAGUCAUGAGAUGGAAUGGUGGGAGUUGCAUGGCAAUAUAUCUCGGAAUGGCUAUGAAAAUACCAUAGUAUGUAGAUAUGGUGGCUGUUUUGAGGGAGGCAUUUGGUGGGUUUGUGUACCGGCGAGAAUUGCGCGGCACUAGAGAGGCUAGCAAUGGUGAAAGGUGAAAGUGAAUCUAUACCAUGGACUCACAUUAGUCAUGAAGAACUCGCAUACUUGUUGCGAAAGUUUUUAUUAGUAAUCAAAACAAAGUGCUAAACGCAUACUCCAGGGGAAGGGUUGGUAGGUGUAAACCAUCGCGUGAUCCCGACCUCAACACAAAGGAUGACAAUCAAUAGAUCAAUUAUGCUCCGACUUCCUAACAUAGCUGUUCACCAUACGUGCAUGUUACGGGAAUCACUAACUUCAACAGAAGUACUUCUAGAUUCACAACACCUUACUAACAUAACUCUUAAUAUUACCAAAUCCAAGUGUCAAAACUAAUUGUGAGGAAUCAAAAACUUCUCUUUCUACUCAAUGCACAUGAAGAUGGAGGUUUUUGUAUCCUCUUUGGGUACCUACCAUAUUUGGAACUACUUUCAUAGCAUAAGCCAACUACCAAGUCAUGCAGCAUCGUGCUCUAAUAGAUAUAAGUGAAGCACAUAGAGCAAAAUUAUCUCGCUCAAAAGAUAUAAGUGAAGCAUUAUGAGCAUUCUAGCAAAAUCACGAUGAGUGCAUGUCUCUCUCUCUCAAAAAGGUUCGCAGCAAGGAUGAUUGUGACACAAAAAAAUAAAAGACUCCUAAGAUACAAGACGCUCCAAGCAAAACACAUAUCAUGUGGUGAAUAAAAAUAUAGCUCCAAGUAAUGUUACCGAUGGAUUGAAGACGAAAGAGGGGAUGCCUUCCCGGGACAUCCCCAAGCUUAGGCUUUUUGGUGUACUUGAAUUUAGAUUGGGAUUCCUUGGGCAUCCCCAAGCUUGAGAUCUUUCCACUCCUUAUCUCUUUGUCCAUGAGAACAUCACCCAAAACUUGAAAACUUCACAACACAAAACUUAACAGAAACUCGUGAUAUCAUUAGCACAAGAAAACAAACUACCACCUCUUUUGGUACUGUAGAAAACUUGAAUUCUAUCUAUAUUGGUGUUAGGAUACUGUACUCCCACUUUUCCAUGGCUAGUACCCCCCCCCCCGAUACUAACCAUAGUUUCAUCAAAACAAGCAACCAACUCAACAAAAACAGAAUCUGUCAAAAACAGACCAGUGUGUAGCAAUCUGUAUACUUCGUAUACUUCUGGUACCUAAAAAAUUCUGAUGAAUUACGACUGCCUGGGAAAAAGGCAUAUCAACCAGCACCAAAAAGAAUCAACUCAAAAGCUCUUUCUGAAUAAAAAUGACAAAUCAUCUCGUGAGCGAAAAGUUUCUGUCUUUUUCCAGCAGGAUCAAACAGCCAUUACCAAGACUAAUCAUAAAGGUUUUGCUUUGCUCAAACACAAAAAGAAACACAAAAAACACAAUCACAACAGAAUUAUGAAAGUGUGGACGCAACAAAACAGAAAGAAAAAUAUAAAUUCAUUGGGUUGCCUCCCAACAAGCGCUAUUGUUUAACGCCCUUAGCUAGGCAUUGAAGCGAUAGAAUCACGUAUCGUCGUCUUUGGUUCUCAAACCAUAAGUGGCCCUUAUCAUGGAUUCAUAAGGCAAUAUUAUUUUCUUUCUAGGAAAGUGUUCCAUGCCCUUCCUUAAAGGAAAUUGAAAUCUAAUAUUCCCUUCCUUCAUAUCGAUGAUAGCACCGAUAGUCCUUAGGAAAGGUCUACCAAGAAUAAUAGGGCAUGUAGGAUUGCAAUCAAUGUCAAGCACAAUGAAAUCCACGGGUACAUAGUUCCUAUUUGCAAUAAUAAGAACAUCAUUGAUCCUUCACAUGGGUUUCUUGACAGUAGAAUAAGCAAGUUGCAAAUUAAGAGAACACUCUUCGAUCUCAUUAAAACCCAGAACAUCACAUAAAGACUUUGGCAUCGCAGAAACACUAGCAUCCAAAUCACACAAAGCAUUGCACUCAUAGUUUUUGAUUUUGAUUUUGAUGGUAGGUUCCCACUCAUCAUGAAGCUUUCUAGGGAUAGAGACUUCCAAUUCAAGUUUCUCUUCAAGAGAUUUUAUCAUAGCUUCGACAAUAUGAUCGGUAAAGACCUUGUUUUGGCUAUAAGCGUGUGGAGAGUUUAACAUGGAUUGCAUCAAAGAAAUGCAUUCAAUCAAGGAGCAACUAUCAUAAUUGAAUCCUUGAAAUCCACGGUAGUAAUUUCAUUACUACUCAAAGUUUUAACAUCUUCUACUCCACUUUCAAUGCUUUUAGCAUCAAGAUAGAUGGACUCCGAAUCAUUGGGGCACUUUUCAACCAAAGUGGAUUCAUAUCCAGCCCCAUAAUCAUUAGGUUUGACACAAUAAAACAAAGAUUCAAUGGGAGUCGCACCAAGCACCUUAAGAUCUUCGGGAUUCUCAUCGGGGGAACACGCCUUUUUAAGCCAUUCAUGUCUAGCACGAAUUUGGGCGGUUCUUUCUUGGCUCUCAAUCAUGGAAACACGCAUAGCUUUAAAAGUUUCAUCCAUGUUGAUUUUGGUAGGAGCACAUCUAACUUUCAAAGCAUCAACAUCAAUAGAAAUUCUAUCAACGCUCUUAGCCAAAUCGUCAAUUUUGAGUAGUUUUUCCUCUAUGGACGCAUUGAAACCUUUUGAGAGUUGAUGAACUCUUUGAUAUUACUCUCUAGAUCAAAGGGUAAUCUAUUGUAAUUUCCAUGAGUAUUGUUGUAGGAGUUGCCAAAAUUAUUAGAGGAGUUACUAGGAAAAGGCCUAGGAACAUAGUUUCCUCUAAAAGCAUUGUUGUUGCCAAAGUUAUUCCUACCAAAAAAAUUAGCAUCCAAGCUAGCGUUACUACUCUCAAUCACAGAAGACAAGGGCAUAUCAUUAGGAUCCAAAGGAGCACUUCUACUAGCAACCAAAUUCAUUAACACAUCCAUCUUAGCACUCAAUGAGUUAAUUUCCUCUAUAGCGUGUACCUUCUUACUAGUAGGUGACCUUUCAGUGUGCCACCGAGAGUAGUUUGUCAUGAUGUUGUCUAGGAGUUUUGUGGCUUCCCCUAACGUGAUUUCCAUGAACGUUCCACCUGAGGCGGAGUCCAAGAUAUUUCUAGAAGCGAAAUUCAAGCCAGCGUAAAAGAUUUGAAUAAUCAUCCAAAGACUCAAGCCAUGAGCGGGACAAUUUCUAAUCAUUAAUUUCAUUCUCUCCCAAGAUUGUGCAACAUAUUCAUUAUCAAGUUGCUUGAAAUUCAUGAUAUCAUUACGGAGAGAGAUAAUCUUAGCCGGCGGAAAAUACUUGGAUAUAUAAGCAUCUUUGCACUUAUCCCAAGAAUCGAUACUAUUUUGGGGCAAAAAGAAAACCAAGUUUUUGCGCGAUCUCGCAACGAGAAAGGAAAAAAGCUUCAAUUUAAUCACGUCAUUAUCCACAUCUCUCUUCUUUUGCAUAUCGCAAAGCUCAAUGAAGGUAUUGAGAUGGGAUGCGGCAUCUUCACUAGGAAGGCCGGAGAAUUGCUCUUUCAUAACAAGAUUCAGCAAAGCAGCAUUGAUUUCGUAUGACUCCGCACUAGUGGCGGGAGCAAUCGGAGUACUAAUAAAAUCAUUAUUAUUAGUAUUCGAGAAGUCACAAAGUUUGGUGUUUUCAUUCAUGGUGACUUCGGCAAGCAGGCAAGCACACAAGCAAACAAAGAGCAAGCGAGGAAAAAGGGCGAAUGAGAAGGCGAACGAAAAAGGCAAACGAAAAAGGCAAAUUGUGAAGUGGGGGAGAGGAAAACGAGAGGCAACUGGCAAACAAAGUAAAUGCAAGAUAUGAGUUUGCGACACCUACUUGGAUGAGUUCUUGACUUGAUCUUCCUCCCCGGCAACGGCGCCAGAAUCCUUCUGCUACGACAACAGACAACAGCGCCAGAAAUUGACACGUUGACGGAGGCUCGGCUUGCGUUGGUUUUUCCCUUGAAGAGGAAAGGGUGAUGCAGCACGGGAGCAGUAAGUAUUUCCCUCAGUUUGAGAACCAAGGUAUCGAUCCAGAAGGAGGGUCUCGUCAAGUCUAGAGUACCUGCGCAAACACAAACAAGCUUGCACCCAACGCUUCAAAGGGGUUGUCAGUCCCUCCAAGAUUGUUUGCAAAGUGAGAUCCGAAGGCAGAAAGUGCAACAAAGUAAAAAGUGUAAGGCUGAAAAUAUGGUGUGGAGUAGACCUUGGGGGCAUAGUUUUCACUAGAGGCUUCUCUCAAAAUAGCAAAUAUCACGGUGGGUGAACAAAUUACUGUCGAGCAAUUGAUAGAACCGCGCAAAGUCAUGAAGAUAUCUAAGGCAAUGAUCAUACAUAUAGGCAUCACGUCCGAGACAAGUAGACCGAUACUUUCUGCAUCUACUACUAUUACUCCACACAUCGACCGCUAUCCAGCAUGCAUCUAGUGUAUUGAGUUCAUGACAAAUAGAGUAACGCCUUAAGCAAGAUGACAUGAUGUAGAGGGAUAAUAUCAAACCAAUGAUGAAAACCCCAUCUUUUUACCCUUGAUGGCAACAACACGAUACGUGCCUUGCUACCCCUUCUGUCACUAGGUGAGGUCACCGCACGGUAUGAACCCAAAACCAAGCACUUCUCCCAUUGCAAGAAUCAUAGAUCUAGUUGGCCAAACAAAACCCACAACUCAAAGAGAAUUACAAGGAUAUGAAAUCAUACAUAAGAGAGAUCAGAAGAAACUCAAAUAAGAUCCAUAGAUAAUCUGAUCAUAAAUCCACAAUUCAUCGGAUCUUGACAAACACACCGCAAAAGAAGAUUACAUCAGAUAGACCCCCAUGAAGAUCAUGGAGAACUUUGUAUUGAAGAUCCAAGAGAGAGAAGAAGCCAUCUAAUUACUAGCUAUGGACCCGUAGGUCUAUGGUGAACUACUCACGCAUCAUCGGAGAGGUCAUGCUAUUGAUGGAGAAGCCUUCCGUGUCCGAAUCCCCCCUCCGACAGGGCACCAGGACGUGCCCCAGAUGGGAUCUUGCGGAGACAGAAGCUUGCGGCGGCGAAAAAGUACUUUCGAUGAUCUCCUAAUUUUUUUGGAAUUUUUAGGGAAUAUAUAGGUGCAACCCCUAGGGCAGAGGGCGUCCAGGGGGCCCACAAGCUUGUGGGUCGCGGCCUCCCCCCCCUGGCCGUGGGGUGAGGGCUUGUGGGGCCCCUGGGGGCCCCCUGCCUUGGCUCUCAAGUCUCCUCAUCUUCUUUCGUUACGGAAAAAUUCUUUUCGGGGAUUUUAUCCCGUUUGGACUCCGUUUCAAAAUCUCCUCUGAAAGGGGUCAAAAACAUUGAAAAAGAAGGAACUGGCACCUGGCACUGAGUUAAUAAGUUAGUCCCAAAAAAUAUAUAAAAGGCAUGCAAAACAUCCAAAGUCUGACAAGAUAAUAGCAUGAAACCAUCAAAAAUUAUAGUAUAAUACGUUGGAGACGUAUCACAUACCUACCUAUGGAUUGAAUAAGAUCCCUCAAGUAAGUUUUCAUCGGUGCAAGCAAUAAAAAUUGCUCCCUAACAUGUAUGAUCUAUUAGUGUGUGGAAAAUAAGCUUUGUACGAAACUGUGAUGAGGAAGACAUAAAAGCGACAGACUGCAUAAUAAAGUUCUUUAUCACAGGAGGCAAUAUAAAGUGACGUUCCUCCGCACUAAGAGGACACGCAUCCAAACCUCAAAAGUGCAUGACAACCUCUGCUUCCCUCUGCGAAGGGCCUAUCUUGUACCUUUACUUUUUUCUCUUGAAAGAGUCAUGGUGAUCUUCACCAAUUCCUUGUUUCGCCUUUAUCUUGGCUAACGUCAUCUGCUAGGGAUUGAUCUAUAUUCAUAUGUCAACUUGGAGGUAAGCAUUCAUGAAUUAUUAUUGUUGACAUUACCCUUGAGGUAAGCAGUUGGGAGGCAAAACUAUAAGCCCCAAUCUUUCUCUGUGUCCAGCUGAAACUUUGAUCUGAUGAGUACCACGUGAGUUGUAGCAAUUGUAGAGAACGAAAAGAUGAUUGAGUAUGUGGAUUUGCUUUACAAGCUCUUAUUUGACGCUUUCUGAUGUUGUGAUAAAUUGCAAUUGCUUCAAUGACUAAAGGCUAUCGGUUGUUACUUCUUGGUAAGGUUCUUGAUCCAUACUUUACUUUGUGAAGGAAUUGUCACUUUAGCAUGAGAGAUUAUAUGUUGGUAUUGUUGUUCUGAUCAUGAUCAUGAUGCAGGCAUGUUCGUAUCUUGUUUUGUCGACACCUCUCUCCCUAAACAUGUGGACAUACUUAUUGAGCUAGGCUUUCGCUUGAGGACAAGCGAGGUCUAAGCUUGGGGGAGUUGAUACGUCCAUUUUGCAUGAUGCUUUCAUGUUGAUAUUUAUUGCUUUUGGGGCUGUUAUUUCACUUAACUGUACAAUACUUAUGCCUUUUCUCUCUUAUUUUGCAAGGUUUACUUGAAGAGGGAGAAUGCUGGCAGCUCGAAUUCUGGCCUGAAACUGGAGCAAGUUUGAGAUGCCUAUUCUGCACAACUCCAAACGCCGUAAAAAUCAACGAGGAUUUUUUUGGGAAUUAUAAAAAAUACUGGGCCGAAGAAGUGCCACAGGGGCGCCAGCAGAUGGCCACAAGUCUGCUAGGCGCGGCCACCCCCCUGGCCGCGCCUAGGGGGCUUGUGGGCACCCAGCUGGCCCUCUGGGCCACCUCUUCUACUAUAUGAAGGGUUUCGUUCGGAAAAAAUAACGAGGAGGCUUUUUCGAGAAUUCGCCGCCGCCACGAGGCGGAACUUGAGCAGAACCAAUCUAAAGCUACGGCAGGACGAUCUUGCCGGGGAAACUUCCCUCCCGGAGGGGGAAAUCAUCGCCAUCGUCAUCACCAACACUCCUCUCAUCGGAGGGGACUCAUCAUCAUCAACAUCUUCAUCAGCACGAUCUCAUCUCCAAACCCUAGUUCAUCACUUGUAACCAAUCUCCGUCUCGCGACUCCGAUUGGUACUUGUAAGGUUGCUAGUAGUGUUAAUUACUCUUUGUAGUUGAUGCUAGUUGGAUUACUUGGUGGAAGAGUUUAUGUUUAGAUACUUGAUGCUACUCAUUACCUCUCUGGUCAUCAAUAUGAUUAUUCUUUGUGAGUAGUUACUUUUGUUCCUGAGGACAUGGGAUAAGUCAUGCUAAUAGUAGUCAUGUGAAUUUGGUAUUCGUUCGGUAUUUUGAUGUGUUGUAUGUUGUUUUUCCUCUAGUGGUGUUAUGUGAACGUCGACUACAUAACACUUCACCAUUAUUUGGGCCUAGAGGAAGGCAUUGGGAAGUAGUAAGUAGAUGAUGGGUUGCUAGAGUGACAGAAGCUUAAACCCUAGUUUAUGCGUUACUUCGUAAGGGGCUGAUUUGGAUCCACUAGUUUAAUGAUAUGGUUAGACUUUGUCUUAAUUCUUCUUUCGUAGUUGCGGAUGCUUGCGAGAGGGGUUAAUCAUAAGUGGGAUGCUUGCCCAAGUAACGACAGUACCCAAGCGCAGGUCCACCCACAUAUCAAACUAUCAAAGUAACGAACGUUAAUCAUAUGAACAUGAUGAAAAAUAGCAUGACAGAAAUUCCUGUGUGUCCUCGGGAGCAUUUUUCCUCCUAUAAGACUUUGUCCAGGCUUGUCCCUUGCUACAAAAGGGAUUGGGCCACUUUGCUGCACCGUUUCUACUUUUGUUACUUGUUGCUUGCUACGAAUCAUCUCACCACACAAUCACUUGUUACUGAUAAUUUCAAUGCUUGCAGAUAUUUCCUUGCUAAAAACCACUUGUCAGAUCCUUCUGCUCCUCGUUGGGUUUGACACUCUUACUUAUCGAAAGGACUAAGAUAGAUCCCCUAUACUUGAGGGUCAUCAGUCAUCCUCGGAAGACCCUUUUUAAACACCGCAGGGGCUGUUAUAGAUUGCAAAAAAGGCAAUGUCACUUUCCAUGUCAACGGUAAUGAGCAUACGGUGCACUUUCCGAAGAAACAAUAUCGAGUACAUUGCAUCAAUGCUAUCGAAAAAACUUCAUCGAUUCUUAUUGGGAACUUUGAAUGCCAUAUUCCUCCUGUCAAGAUGAAGUAUGAUUUGCUUGUUGGGGAGAUACACAUCCCCAUUGAGGUAACGUAGUGACUAUUCGAAAAUUCUCCGUUCUCUUUUGCGAUUCGAAAAGUUUGUCAAGGAGACUUGAUCAACCUCACUGACGGAUUUCUUUCGAUGACCAUGAGACGCAUGAAUCGAGGAGUCACAAACCUCUGUUCCAAGCUUUCAUCUUCGGUUGCUUAGAAGAAAAAUGAUAGAUUUAGUUUAGUUUUCCCUGUUUUCUGUUUUAGCGUCUCGUAGAAAAGUACCCCGAAAAUAAAAGUUCUCCGAACGUCCUGAAAAUCAAGUAUGAUUUUUUCUGGAAUUUUUGAAAAGUACUGAGGUGAAGAGCUAGUCUGGGGGCUGCACCAGUGGGCCACAAGCCGUGGAGGCGCGGCCACCCCCGUGGUCGUGCCUACCUAGCUUGUGGGGCCCACAUGCACCCCCUCCACUCAUUCUAGCUCCCAUCUGCUUCUCCUACCUCCAGAAAAAAUUGUUUUGCAGCUCAAACCCGUGUUCUUUCUCUUCUUGCAGGGAUUUUCGAUCUCCUUGCUCAAAGCACCAUUCUCCGAACUGUUUUGGGGGAAAUUACUCAUUGGUAAGUGACUCCUCCAUUGGUACAAUUAGUUUUUGCUCUAGUGCCUUAUAGUUCACGUAUUUUUGCUGCCUUGGUGACCCUGUUCUUGAGUUUUGCAUGCUAAUUUUAGUUGGUCCCAAGUAGUUUUGAUGCGUAAUAUGGCCUCUAGGCACUUGUGGGAGUAGUUGUUAUGAGUUUUGUUGAGCCUUGUUCACUUUUCCUUAGAGUCACUAAAAAUUUCAGAAAUUUUCAAAGAUAGAAAAGGGAAAAGAUGAGGAGGUUCUUAAGAGGCUCUUCAAGCCGUGAUCCCAAGGAUGAUGGAAGAGAGAAGAAGCCCAAGUAUCCGGUCCCUCGAGUUGCAGAAGUUCGAGCGUGCGAAUGGCCAAGCGAUGUGUUCUUACGCGUCGCCGGACUUUAUGAGGACUUUUAUCACUUGGUGGAGAACGUAGGCCUUACCGCCUUCGUUGAAGAUAAGUGUCCGCAAUACCUCCUCUUCACUAAUAUCUUCGUACAGAGCUUUAACUUCUAUCCGAGGAAGAAUCCUCCUAUGGUUGAGUUCAAACUUUAUGAUAUCCCCCAGCGCAUGUCACUCCAGGAUUUUUGCAAUGUUUGCAAAUUACCUUACGUUGGGGAUAUUCAUGAACCUCGUCCACUGGACUUGGAGGCUUUCAUCGAUACAAUUGUUGUAGGAGAGGAGAGAGGAGUGUCUUGUGCUAGAUCUGCUAGCAUAUAUUUUCCCGUGCUUCGGUACUUCUCACUAUUCGUGAGAAAAUGUUUGAUUGGUCGUGGGAAAGCUGGGUCCCUUAGCUCUCCAGAUCUUGCGGUCUUGCGUGAAGCCCUUCAUAAUGACAAAACUUAUAGCUUGGGCGCUAUAGUAGCUCAACGGUUGAACAUGAACCGUUCUAAAGGCGUUGUCUAUGGAGGUAUCUAUGCUACUCGUCUUGCUAGACACUUUGAGAUACCUAUUAGACUGGACGAGGAAGAAGAAAUUCUUCUUCCCGAGAGAUAUCUAGAUUACGGUAGCAUGGUUCGCCAUGACUUUAUUGAUAGAGAUAUAAAUAGAAGGAUGAUUUAUAACCUGGUAUUUAGUCAGGGUACUCGUGAGACUAUUACUUUGCUUGCUCCUUCUUUGUUCAAUCUUCAUGCAGGCAGGUACAUUAUUAUGCCCUCGGACAUCUACACAUAUUGGGGCUUGUCCCAACCACAGGUGCCCGUGCCCGAGCCACCAGUCGAGUACCAGACGCCAGUUUAUCAAUGGGAGCCAGAGGAGCUCACACAGCAGUGGCAUCCUUAGUCCACUCCGGAGUACCCCGGAGCUGGUUAUUUCCCUCUGUGGGAGUAGACCAACUUAGGCCAAAAGCCUAAGCUUGGGGGAGUACGUGUUUCUCACCGACUUUACAUUCUUGCUUAUGCUUUCACUUUGUUCGUCGGUGUUCACACUUUGCCACUGUAUCAUCCAUGCUAAUUUAUUUUCUUUUUCUCGUUUUCUUUUCGUGUGCCUGUCUAGUUUGAGAAAACCCAAAAAUAUUUUCUUUUUCUUCUUUUGCUUAUUGGGAGCUUUCCCGUGUAAAUAGUUUCUUUUUCUUUGGGUCAAGGUAGAAGAUAAUGGUUACAAUGUUUAGUGGCUCUCGCAUGCAUACCUGUUUAGCUGUCAAAGAGCCAUAUUACUUUGUCUUCUCCUUUGUGUUUGCCUGCAGAUUCCAGCUUUAGUCCAAUGCACGAGCACUCUUAUUAUUGUUCACAUCAUUCGGUCGUGCAAGUGAAAGGCAAUAAUGACGAUAUAUGAUGAAGUGACUGAGCCUGGAAAAGCUGGUAUGAACUCGAUCUAUUUUGUUUUUGUAAAUAUGACUAGCUCACUGUUCCUAGUUCAGCUUUGUUGUGAGAGUAAUAUGUUUGCAAUGACAACUUAGAGAUCAUAGUUGCUGAUGCCAUGCUUACUUAGCUAGGAUCUUAUAAUGGUUUGUCUUGGAUGCCCACAUGAAUUUUGAGAUGACUAUGAUGUAGUAUGAUAGGAUGGUAUCCUCCUUUGAAUGAUUCAAGUGGCUUGACUUGGCGCAUGUUCACGCAUGUAGUUGAAACAAAAUCAACAUAGCCUCUAUGAUAUUCAUGUUCAUGGUUGUUUAUGUCCUACUCAUGCUUGCACUCAAUGUUAGUUAAUCUCAAUGCAUUUUGAUGACUGUUGUCGCUCUCUAGUUGGUCGCUUCCCAGUCUUUUGCUAGCCUUCACUUGUACUAAGAGGGAAUACUGCUUGUGCAUCCACUUCCAUAAACCCAAAGUUGUUCCAUAUGAGUCCACCAUACCUACCUAUAUGUGGUAUCUACCUGCCGUUCCAAGUAAAUUUGCAUGUGCCACUCUCUAAACCUUCAAGAAAUAAUCUGUUUUGCAUGCCCGAACCGCUCAUGUGGUGAAAGGGGGCUAUCAGUAUCUUCCAUGCUAGGCGUGUUAUCCUCGAUAUGUGUUUAUUCACUAUCAUCCACGAGAAAGGGGCCGGUAAUUGGAAUGCCCAGUUCCAUGCUCAAAUCGAAAAGAUAAUUGCAAACAAAACUCCCCCGAGAUUGAUGUUGGUAUGGACGGUGCCCGAGGAUUCGGCUAGCCGUGGAGUGUGAUUGAUCGGUGGUGGGGGAGUCAAAACUUUACUUUUCUAUUUGGGAACCGCCUAUAGCAUGUGUAGCGUGGAAGAUGGUGAGAACUCUUAGUCAUUGCGUUGACAAUGAAAGCAUGCCACCCAAAAUUAUUAUCUCUGUUUUCAAAGCUUGAGCUCUGGCACCUCUGCAAAUCAAUGCUUCCCUCUGCUAAGGGCAUGUCUAUUUAUGUUCCUGUUGAGUCAUCCUCCUCUUAUAAAAGCCCCAAUUAGAGAGCACCUCUGUCAUUUUUAUGCUUUGCUUCUAACUGUGAUUGAGUAUGACUGUGACUGGAUCUUCUUUGCCAUGAAUUAUAAUGUUUAGUCAGCCCUUGGUCUUUGAAGGUGCUCUGCAUUUAUGUUUUGCGGUCUCAGAAAGAGCUAGCGAGAUACCAUCUGUCCGUACUGCUUCAUGAUUGUUUUGAUUGAAGUAUUGACGUUUGAGACUUAUUAUUAUUUGCUCGCUAGUUGAUUAUGCCUUUGAUAUGAGUUUACCGUGAGAUCUAGAUGUCAUUUGCUUAUGUGGUUUGCUUGUGAUCUUGCUGAAACUCUGGAUAUGAGCUAGACAUAGUUGCAACAACAAGAUCAAACAGAGUUUGUCAAAGUUUUUCUUUUGUCUCUUUCAGUUUGUCAACUGAAUUGCUUGAGGACUAGCAAGGCUUUAAGCUUGGGGGAGUUGAUACGUCUCCAUCGUAUCUACUUUUCCGAACUCUUUUGCCCUUGUUUUGGACUCUAAUUUGCAUGAUUUGAAUGGAACUAACCCGGACUAACGCUGUUUUCAGCAGAAUUGCCAUGGUGUUGUUUUUGCAUAAAAUAAAAGUUCUCGGAAUGACCUCAAAAUUUACGGAGAAUUUUUCUGGAAUUUAUGAAAAAUACUAGCGCAAGAAUCAGCGGAGGAUGUGGAGCAUGGAGCCCACAAGCCCACCAGGCGCGGGGCCCCCCUAGCCGCGCCUGGCAGUCUUGUGGAGCCCACGACGCUCCACCGACUCCAAAUCCAGCUCUAUUUAGUCCGUCUCGCCCGGAAAAAAAUCAAGGAGAAGAGUUCAUCGCGUUUUACGUUUCGGAGGCGCCUCCACCUCCUGUUCUUCAUCUGGAGGGCAGAUCUGGAGUCCGUUCUGGGCUCCAGAGAGGGGAGAUCGUCGCCAUCGUCAUCACCAACCUUCCUUCAUCGCCAAUUCCAUGAUGCUCUUCACCGUUCGUGAGUAAUCUCAUCGUAGGCUUGCUGGACGGUGAUGGGUUGGAUGAGAUCUAUCAUGUAAUCGAGAUAGUUUUGAUGGGGAUUGAUCCCUAGUAUCCACUAUGUUUUGAGAUUGAUGUUGCUACUACUUUGCCAUGCUUAAUGCUUGUCACUAGGGCCCGAGUGCCAUGAUUUCAGAUCUGAACCUAUUAUGUUGUCGCCAAUAUAUGUGUGUUCUUGAUACUAUCUUGCAAGUUGUACUCACCUACUAUGUGUUAUGACCCGGCAACCCCGGAGUGACAAUAGCCGGAACCACUCCCGGAGAUGACCAUAGUAUGAGGAGUUCAUGUAUUCACCAAGUGUUAAUGCGUUGGUCUGGUUCUUUAUUAAAAGGAGAACCUUAAUAUCCCGUAGUUUUCAUUAGGACCCCGCUGCCACGGGAGGGAUGGACAAUAGAUGUCAUGCAAAUUCUUUUCCCUAAGCACGUAUGACUACAUUCGGAAUACAUGCCUACAUUAUAUUGACGAACUGGAGCUAGUUACUUAUCUCUCAGUGUUACAACUGUUACAUGAUGAAUCACAUCCGGCAUAAUCAUCCAUCACCGAUCCAAUGCCUACAAGUCUUUUACUACUGGUCCCUGCUAUGUUACUUUGCCGCUACUACUGUCACUACUGCUACUGUUACUCUACUGCUAUUGGUUAUUGUUGCUACUCCUGCUAUCACCCUACUUUGCUACUGAUACUUUGUUGCAGAUACUAAAUCUUUCAAGUGUGGUUGAAUUGACAACUCAACUGCUAAUACUUGAGAAUAUUCUUUGGCUUCCCCUUGAGUCGAAUCAAUAAAUUUGGGUUAAAUACUCUACCCUCGAAAAUUGUUGUGAUCCCCUAUACUUGUGGGUUAUCACUGCCCGGUUCAAAUCCUGGUGAUUACGUGAGCGAUUUAGUAAUUUUUAAGAUGGCUCGGGUAACAAAUGAAGAAAAAUAUAAAUUCGUAAUCGGGAAGCCUCUCGUCAAACCUGGCCAUCCUCCUCUAACACCGAGGAUGCACGAAUUGCAUGAGUGGUACAUGAACAUCUUCAGGGAGAAAACGGCUGUGUAUAUAAGAGUGAAAAAAGAUCACGAAUUCAUUGGAGCUUCAGUGGUGCUUGUUGAAUUUGAGGAGUUAUUUCAGUUAUACAAUGAUCUGGCCCUUGACAAACAACUCCUGACUUCCUACUGUUUGUAAGUAUUACUUCUAUAGUUAAGUAUCUAGCUCAGCUCGUUCAUUGCAUGUAUCUACAAUUAUCCUCACUAUAUAUAUUAUGCAGAUCAAAGAUCGUCGAAUUAAAAAAAACAGGAAUCUUCAACAUUGGAUUCAUUAGCCCAGAAUCGGUAAAUGUAUUGUCGAUACGAAAUGAAACCAAAGAGACCGAGGUUAAGUUGCUAAAUUCGUUGCUUGUAAAUUAAAACAAAAGGGAAAUAUUCUUUCCUUACAACUUCAGGUAAGUGUUGUUGUCUUCUUUGUAUACACGAUUUCGCUUACUCAAGGUUAAUUAGUGAAUGUAAUUGAUGAGUUAUAUAUGUGUGCGCAGUUACCACUGGAUUCUGCUAUCCAUUAAGCUUGACGCGGGAAAAGUAAGUGUCUUAGACUCGAGACGUAAAGAUCCCAAGGAUUAUGCCGACAUGACUGCAAUGCUCAUGAAGUAAGUUCACUCAAUACCGGGACCAUACCGGCAUGCAACUUUCGUUAAUUUCCUGAUAUCAAGUAAUCAUUUUCUUUGCCUGGCAGGAUUUGGAAGAAGUUCACGAAUAAAGUUCGCGAUAUACCCAAAGAGUUGCAAUUUACGCACCCCCAGUAAGUAGUACUAGCUAGCUAGUUCCGCGCAUCUCUAAUCGAUUCAAAUUUUCAUCAAUAUAUCAUUAUCAUGCUUGCUUAUCAAUUUGAUUGAACUCUAUAUAUUCUCGUAAAGUGCUUGUACCAGGUAGGUGGGACUGAAAAAUGUGCAUUCUACGUAUGCGAGUUCAUUCGCCUCUCGACCUCUGGACGAGGCAUCUCUGGCGAACAAUUUGAAGUACGUAAAUAAUAUUCACAAUUUUAUUUUAUAUAUUACCAUCAAUUGUGUUGAGUUUUAUUCAUAUAUAUGCAUGUAUUGACCCACUUCUUUAAAUUAGAUCUGGAAGAAGCGGGAUGAACCCCUAUCAGAUGAUGGCAUACGAGCAAUUAAAGAGGAAUUGGCGGGAUUCCUUCUUGACCACAUCAUAUCUAGUGACAGAGAAUACCAUGUGAGCUAUUUGUGAUUGGAUCUUAGGUAGAUGAUGUUAAGCAUUGUAAAAGAUGUUAUAUUGUAAAAGAUGUUAAGUAUUGUAAAUGGUUUCCUUCAUUUUCUUAUUAGCUAGCGUCAUGUUCUCUCUAUAUGUAUAGUAGCUAGCGUCGACCAAGCACGAAGAAAAGAGGACACUUCUCUCUAUUAGCUAGCUAACACAAUAUGAAACCACUAAAUUAACCCUCCACACCCCCCCCCCCCCCCCCCGCGCGAUCAAAGAAAACAAAAACCCCAGCUCUGGGCAGAUGCUGACGCGUGGAUGCAUGUUGUCCCGGUUGGUGUGACCAACCGGGACUAAAGAACCUCCUGCUCGGGCUCGCCGCAGCGGCCACAUGGACACCAUUUGGUCCUGGUUCGUAAGUGAACCGAGACUAAAGGUUUUGGGCUUUAGUCCCAACCAUUUAGUCCCGGUUCAAGAACCGGGGCUAAUGGGUCUCUGGAACCGGGAUAAAUGGGCCAUUUUCUACUAGUGAUCGGAGACAAUCCCGAUGAGGUUAAGACCCUCGAGCGAAGGGAAGUGAGGAGAAACAUGGGAUGCACCCCUCGAUCAACUUGAACUACCAUGGGAGCGGCGAGGCUGUCACUAGUAGAGAAAUGGAUAGCCACAAUGUUAAUUGUUGUUGUCCCAUUUUCAACCAACGCCACCAUUAUAUUUUCUAAACAUUGGUGGCGUUGGACUAUUUGGUACAACACCACUAAGAUAAUAGUGGUGGCGGUGGCACAUUUUUAAACACCACUUGUAGGUGGGACACAUAGUUGAGACAAGGUGCAACUUAGUGGUAACGUGGUAUAACAUCAAACACAACAACUAAUAGGUUUUCCUGUGGCAUCAUAUGUAUUGCCACAUCAUCACUAUAUUUUUUGGGAAUUAGUUCUAUUUGUAAUUAAUUAUUCCUAACUAUGUUUUUUAUUUUUGCAAAUGGUGAACAUUUUUAUAUUAUAUUAGUAAGAAAAAUGUAUUUAUUUUUACUGAAAAUAAUAUUAUAAUUUGAAAUUGCGAUACCUCUAUAAUAUAUUUUGAAUUUUUCAGUUAUUUUACCUUUUAUUUGCUUCCAAGUAGUGAACAUUUUGUUACUAUACUAGUACAAAAAAUAUUGCAAUCAAUUUUAUUAAAGUUAGAAUAUAUUGAUUUGAAGACAUUUUUAACAUAUAUUUUGAGUCUUCAAUUGUUUACAUUUUGGUUUUACUAAAAUUGUGAAUACUUUUAUACUAUAUUCUUCAAAACAUAUUGUAGUUAAUCUUAUCAAAGUAAGAAUAUUGUAAUUGUAAAUGGUGGCCUUUUUAUGUUGUAUUUUGAGUCUUUCAAUUGUUUACCAUUCUAUUUUUUUGUAAAUGGUGAACAUUUUUAUAUUAUAUUAGUAACGAAUGUAUUUACUUUUAUUACAUAAGAAUAUUGUAAUUCGAAAUGCUGAUAUUUUUAUAAUAUUCUUUGAGUCUUUCAGUUUUUUAUUUGUUUCGAAAUGGUGAACACUUUAUUAUCAUACUAGUCAAGACAGUAGUGCAAUCAAUUUUAGUAAAGUUAAAAUAUUGUAAUUAUAAAUGGUGACAUUUUUAUAAUAUAUUUGAGUCUUUAAAUUGUUUUACAUUUUACUUUUUUGUAAACUUUGAACAUUUUUAUAUUAUAUUUGUCAAAACACACUGUAGCUAAUUUUAUUAAAGUAAUAAUAUUGUAAUCGGAGUGGCAUUUCUAUACUGUACUUCGAGUCUUUCAAUUGUUUACCUUUUUGUUUUUUGUAAAUGGCAACAUUUUUAUAAUAUAUUUUGGGUCUUUCAAUUGUUUUACCUUUUUAUUUUUUUGUAAAUGGUGAAUAACUUAUAUUAUAUUAGUCAAAACAUAUUGUUGUUAAUUUUAAUAAAGUGAGAAUAUUGUAAUUGAAAAUACUGACAUUUUUAUAAAGUAACUUUUUAGAAGUAAGAAUAUUGUUUUACCUUUUUGUAAUAUUAUAGUUAUUUUACAGUAUUCUAGUUAUUUUAUAAUAUUGCAGUUAUUUAUAUAAUAGGUUUUGUGACAUUUAGAAGUAAAAUCGAGGGGCAACAACCCACUGGCCAACUGGGCCUAGCCUAAAAGUGUGUUGGUAGCACUCGGCCUCGCUUACUAGGUAAUGGCCCCCCUCGCAUCACCUCUCUCUUUCUUUUUGUUGUCGUUGCUCAAUCCCCUUUUGAUGUCGUCGUCGUUCUUCUUUUGCAUCACAAUAUUCGUCACCGACAGAUCCCGACCAUUUCCGACGGGAUCCAAGGCCGAGGUAAACAUCUACAACUCCCCCUCUUGUUGCCCUAUCUCUACAACCAUUAGAUUUGUUUUGAUAUGCAUCGGUAGGGACAUCCCGAUUUGAUUUGCAUCGUUAGGGUUUCCGCGACGGUGACGGAGAUGACGGGCUGCUAGGCUUUGGUUGCGCAUGACAUUGGGAAGAAAAUCAUUGGUUAGUUCAUCCCUUCCCCCUUCUUUCUCCUCUCUAUGAAUUCAUCGGUGAGUUCAUCCCCUCCGAAUUUGAUUUGGAUCGCUAGGAUUUCGGUUUGGCAGUGCAAUAUGUUGACGAAUUAUGAUAGUUUGAGUGAGUAUACAAAAUUAGGGGUUUCAUGGAUUGAUAUGUUUGUAUGGCAGUGCUGGGUAGUUUGAGUGAGUAUGCAAAAUUAGGAAUUUGACAAUUCAAAACUAGUGUCAAAACAGUGCCAAAACUAGUGACAAAAGCUUGACUAUGUCAAAGCUUUACUUAAUUUGAUAGCUCCAAACUAGUGUAAAAAAAUGUUUGUCAAAGUUUUGAUAGUGCCAAAUAGUGGCAAAAGCUUUGAGAGCACCAAAGCUUUACUUAAUCCUCGGGGCUAAGGGUAUGUAUUAACAGUUAUGUGUUCAAUUUCUCUCUCUCUCAUGUUAUUAAUGGAUCCAAUCUUGAUUGUACCAUGAGCUUUAUUAAUAAAGUUGGAUCUUAUGACUUUCAUCUCCCUUUAUCCUUUUUAUAGUGAAUCGAGUCUUGCUCUUUGAAGUUUCUUUAUGUUGGAUUGAAUAUAUUGGAUUUGAGAUUACAUGAUGCAUGUCUAGUAAUUUACUUGCGGAUACCCGAGGUGACAUUAGGGUAGUCUAAGCAUAGAGGUUGAACCAUAGGAUCAUAUGAUGUUGUGGUAGUAUGAUCUCUAGGACUAUUUGUGACAGUUUGGGGGUG
RNAcentral lists this long non-coding RNA (58627 nucleotides) under Hordeum vulgare. RNAcentral's name for it is "long non-coding RNA (HVUL_LNC014164)". The stretch from base 28294 to 28339 matches the Rfam family "Histone 3' UTR stem-loop". The record is from RNAcentral. Lineage: Eukaryota; Viridiplantae; Streptophyta; Magnoliopsida; Poales; Poaceae.